GGGUGCUCCUAAUCUGGUGGCAAAUUAAAUCCUCAAUCAACUGUUGGUUUAGUCUACAAAGUGUCGGCAGCAAAUCAAGGAGUACAAAUGUACAGAGAGCUUGAGAAAUAAGGAACAAAUAUAGUACUGCAGUGUCACUUGCAGCACAGACGAAGGGGCAGCAUGCAUGAUUAUGCCUGCCUGCAUGAUUGAGGACCGAAACUAGCUGUGUUCUCUUUCUCUGUGAUGGGAUCAUCUGAACCCAGCCAUGCCAUCAUUGCAAGCGCGAAAGCGUGCCCCUUCCAACAGUUUAUCUGCCGAGAUGAGCAUGCAGGACAAUGUUUAGCAGGGAAUGUAGCCAAAAAAUUGCUCAGUGUUGAAGCAAAGCAAUAAAAACUUCCCAUAAUAUUUUCCAUGAAAGCACUAGAUGUUGUUCGCAUGAAGAAAUUAGAAUAGUGUAGAAUAUAGAUAUUUGUCUUAUUGAAAAUUCUAGAAGGGGACAUAUGUCAUCACCCUAUAAACCCCCUUGACGUAUAAAUAAAGACUCCUUUCUCCAUGCCAUCCAUCCAUAAGCAUGGUGAAUGAGAGAGUAUGGUAGAAGAGAGCAAAAUAGUAGUGCUAGGUAGAAGAAAGAGUGAGAGUGUGUGCGUUAGGCUAGCCACCUAAGUGUAAGAGUGCUUUGUUGUAAUACUCUUGUUGCAGUAAAGGGAGUAUUUUGUCAAGUCCAGGUCCCCAUAUCAGUAGUAAUAGUCCCACCCACUCUCAACGCUUACCGUGCACUCCAAACUCCGUGCACUCACCCUUCACCACCUACAGUGGGCUGGAAUGGCGGUACACGCAAGUGCUGGGUGUACAUCAGCCAAAUCCGUUGGGAUUGCACUGUAGCAUCCGGCUUCCCGUUGGGAUUUUGCAUUAGUUGUGUGUUGCCCGGAUUAGCAACCACGCAAGCGAACACAAACACUGUAGUUUAGCAGGCAGAUGAGGAGGCUCCCUGCUGCUACUCACUGAAAUAGUGAAAUCGCACUCUGGCAUGCACAAGCACAUUAUUGGUCCAGCCACAGAGUUUAGAUCCGGAGCCUCAUAAGGCUUUACGAUGGAACGGUCACAUCCAGUGAAGACGACAGAUAGAAAAGCGACAAACAGUGUUAAUAAGCUCUGGGAAAGUUUGGAUUAGGAAAAGGUUGAGCAUGCAUGUGGGAAGCUCUGUCAGGGAAGCAUAUCCAUAUGGUUGGCACAGGAUCAUCUAGUAAGCCUAAGCAGGGUCCUGCUAGCUGUUCCGGCAGGUAACAAAUGAGAUCCUGUGCCCAAUCACCUGUUGUGAUCGCCUAACACUGUUGGUUAGCAAAGAAUCUAAGAAUGAUGGACUGCCCAUCCACAUCAGUUGCACUCCUCUUUUAAUUUUCAGCACUACUUCACAGAUCAAGUACGUACGUUACAAAGAGUUUUCAGAUAAGAUGAUGCAUAGCACUUUCUGUAAAGGGACCAAUAACAAGCAUGGACAUAUGUUAAGCUCGGUGACCGAUCGAGUGUAUGCAGGGACAGAGUAUGAUGCUAGAGAAGAAGAGGCGGUCUUUAAGGAAAGGAGGUAUACUACAUGAGUAAUGACAUGAUUAGGCUCCAGUUGGAGUAGGCAAUUAAGCAUCUGUUUCUUUGUGUGAUGUGAUGAGCCGAACCAUUCUCUAGCAUAUCUUCAGUGAACGCGCGUGCAAAUACAAGGACUGCCAUCAUCAUUGCUAGUGCAGCGCAGGCGCAGCUUCUUGCUUGAUAUAGGAGUAUCUGCCGACGCAGUACCAAAUUUAGCAAGGGAAGCGAACUGCAUGCAUCCGUGUGUUGCUUACAGUGCACUCCACUCCCUGUGCAGUGUGCACCCACCAAUGCAAAUUAGUACCAUUUUCUUUUCCUCGCGCUUUGUGAUUUGUAAUCAGGUUUUGUAAUGCAAGGUCGGACGCACUCAAGCACAUACACCCACGUAGGUGACAUAGGUGUGUGUCCUAGCAUACUAAAUUUAGUAAGUUAAUGACUCGAACAUUAAACACUAAAAAUGCACACACAAGGUAACCAAAAUGACCUCAAUUUAAAAAAAACAAUUGAUGAACUAAAAUCUCUCUUGUUUUUAAGGGUGUGUUUGGUUGGGCUGUGACUUUUGGAAAAGCUGCUGUGAGCUGUGGAAAAGCAACUGUGAGAAAGCAGCUAUGGGAAAAGCAGAAGACCAUUUGGUUAGAGUAGCUGUGAAACUGUAGUUUGUGUAAGAAAUACCUGUAAUACCCCUAAAGGUCCGUGGGUGUGUUUAUAUGAAAAUUGUUCAUAAAAAAAAUAAUGUGUUCACUAAUUCGCAUGUAAAUGAAUAUUUUAGAAAGGAAAAAAAUAAAUUUUAUAUGUUCUUCGUCCAUUAAAGUGAUUGGUCCACAUAAAUAGAACAAUAUCCAUCAAAAGUUUUAUACAAUGAUGCCAUCCCUCAACAUUAUUGUCCCCCUCUCGCACUAACCAAAGCAUCAGCUAUCCUAGUACGAAUGGUAUUCAUGGUAUCCUCAUUCUCCAUAUCGUCACUCUCAUCUCCUUGUGUUUGUCUCGUGCCACUUGUAUGUUGUACAAAUACUCCUCCUCCUCAUCAUAUCUCUUGAACACCUUAUCACACAAAUUGCUGUCAUGGAUAAAAUUAUGCAAUGCAAGACAAGCCAUAAUGAUAUGCUUCUAAGUACGAGGUGAGAAACCUGGCAUGCCCUUCAAAAUAUGCCACUUCUGCUUUAAGACUCCAAAAGACCUUUCAAUGACAUUACGAAGAGAUGAAUGCAAGAAAUUGAACAUCUCUUACUUUCCUUGAGGAGGCCCCGAACGUUGCCGAAAUUUUGGUAUAUGGUACGUGCUUCCUUUGAAAGGCACAAGAUACCCAAUUCGGCGAAUUGAGUAACCCAAGUCCACAAGAUAAUAUUUUCCUACAAAAUCAAGUUAGUAAAGUAUAUAAUAAUACAAGUAUUGCUAACUUGAUGAAGGAACGAUGUAUACUUUAGGAGGCACGGGAAAUGAUGGAAAAUUUGCCAAUACAUGAUUCUGAGAUGUAUAUCCAUAACGGUAUGUGUGGUUAACCACUUCGUCCACUGGCACUGCCACUUUAACAUGUGAACCAUCUAUUGCUCCAAUUGCGCCUUUAAAGUAUGGCCAAAAAUGGUCUUCUCUCACUCUUUCAUGCUCCGUAGAAAAAGUAGAAUCUCUCAGCUUAAUGUUGUCCUUGGCUAACUUGCGCAAACACUUCAACACUUCAUGAAACUUCAUGUGAACUGUCCAAAGUGACCGUGUGAAACGAUUUUCAACUUGUGAAAAAGAUUGUGGUCUUCCGACAAUCCACAGGAACAUUGCCAAUGACUCAGUAGAUGAAACAUUGUUGCUUGAGGUCAAUCCGUGAAGUUUCUUGAAAAUCUCGAUGCUUAUCCGAAACAUCUUAUAAAAAUAUCUCAGACGUGAUAUACACUUCAUCACCCAUUGAAUUCCAAUUUCUGACGUUUCCCUAUAUUCAGCUUUGUGCAAAUACCGCUCAGUAUACAAGUUGCCAAUUUUUCCAAUAGCACCAGCAUACUGUGCAAGUUCAGCUAGCAGUAGUUAGCAUACUAUGAGCGUACAGCAAGAGAGGUCUAGUGUAUGCAGAUUCCUGAGGUUGCCAAUACUCUCAGGAACACUGACUAUACUAUCAUUAUUAGACAAGUCCAGAUGCUGCAGAUUAGAAAGGGUACAUAUACGGUCAAUGAAACUGAAUAGUACAUCUGAGCUCAGAUUCCAGAACAUAGAUCAUAUGGUAUGUGAUAAAUCCAGAUACACCUCUAAGCUGAUUGUUUUUUGAUAAAUCCAGAUAUUCCAACCUUUUGAGAUUCACAAAUGAUUUUGGGAGGUUACCUAUAAAGUCACAAUUCGAGAUAUCAAGAUGCAUCAGACAUCUCAAGUCACUAAUUGAAUCGCAAUGCUAACAUCCUGGAUCAAGUCACUAAUUGAAUCGCAAUGCUAACAUCCUGGAUCAAACAUGAGCAGAUCAGAAAAAGGGAUUCAAACCUCGGGUGGGGCAGCUGGCGGGGUGCAAAGGGUGGCGGCGGGCAGGGAAGGCGGGCGGUGGCCAGCGGCAGGCGGCGGGGUGCGGCGGCCAGGGGCGGCGAGUGGCGGCCGUCCAGGGGUGGGGUGUGGUGGGCGACUGGGGCCGGUGGGCCGGUGGGAGGUGGACCGGUGACUGGGGGCGGAGGGCGAUGGGCCGCCGGGGGCGGCGCUCGAAGGAGGAUCAUGGGAGGCGGACGGUUGUGACGAAGGACUACGGGAGAAAUAGAUCCGGAAACAAAAACGAACCGUUACCUUUAUAGCCAGUGGUAGGUGGGUAAUUUUUUACCCUAAAAGCACUUGAAAGCAGGGGAUGGUGCUUUUGCUUUUGUACUAGAGCAAAAACAGUUUUCGGGCAAAAGCACAUAGAGUUUUUUUUGACCCUUUGGUUGGUUUUUGACUUUUGCAAAAAUAAAAGCAGGUUAAAAAACCCAACAAAAACACCUAGGUGACCCAGCAGCAACCACGGCACGAACAUGGACUCAGAAUUGCUUUGUGGACCGGUGCUCGGGCCUACCAGUCCCACACUGAUGGGCCAGGCUAUUACCCUCCUCGGCCUCCAACCCGUAAAAUCGAUAUGCGACAGCACCUGGCCCAGUUAAAAAAAAAGGUUGCAGGCUCAGUUUGCUCUGUAAUCCCUACCAGCAAGAAUCUCGUAAGCUCAACACCUCACUGGCUUCACCCUUAAAAAAAAAAACACCUCACUGGCUUCUAACUUUAGUUCUGUUCCGAACGCAAGGAUCAAGCAAAUUUCACAUGCACGUGUGCGCGUGUGCUUUUUUGGCUAGUAUGAGUUGGUGUGGGUUAGAAUUAGUUAAGAUCUCAUAACCAAGUCCUACUCAUGUAGAUCUCGAUGUGCAGGUUGUUGCGCAUGAGAUAGAGAUAGAGAUAGAAUAUAUUGUUUAUUUGAAGAUCAAGUUGUAAUCCAAACAAACUCUCAUGUACAUCUUGUAGGCAUUUGCCUCUAUAUAACACGAAGCCGUGGAUGUGCUGCGUUCCACCAAAUUCUCACAUGGUAAUUAGAGCCACUUCUUCCUAAACACAUCUACUACCUUCCUUCCAUGGUGUCCUCCUCCUUCCCUUCAUCGAUCCAGCUUGGGUCUAGUGGUUCAGAGAAACUCAUGAGAGAGAACUACCGCCUAUGGAAAGCCCAGUUUCUGCCUGCCGUCCGUGACGUCCAGCUCAUGGAGAUCUUGGAUGGGUCUUACCCUGAGCCGCUGAAACCAUUGAAGACAACAAGAAGCAGAAGGUCCCUAACCCCGAGUACCACUCGUGGAUGGUCAAAGACCAAACCCUACUCAGCUACCUGAUGCACUCCAUCACCAAAGAUCUGCUGGGGAAGGUGGCGACGGAGACCUCCUCGGCUGAAACAUGGAAGGCGCUGGAACGCAUGUUCUUGGCGUGAUCGAGUGCACACGUGACAAAUCUACGCAUGCAACUCGCCAAUUUGAAGAAGGGUGGCAUGUCCACCAUGGCAUACUUCGACAAGGUUUGGGCCAUCAUCGAUGAGAUCGCUGCUGCCGGCAAGAUCAUCAACGAUGAAGAGGUUGUGGCAAAUUUACUUAAUGGUCUUGGUUAUGACUAUAACCCCUUCAUAUCAGCUGUCCUCAUCAGGAUAGAUCCAAUCUCCUUGGGAGAUCUGUACUCUCAGAUGAUGGUGUAUGACUUCCGUCUGGAGGCGUACCAGGAUGGCGACGAUCACUUCCAGUCAUCUGCAAAUUCGAUUGGUCAUGGACGUGGUGCACCUCGCGGUUGCGGUAACAAUCGCGGCAAAGGAUGAGGUGGUUGUGGGAGUGGAGGACGUACAAGCAAUGCUAGCACAGUCGCCCCCAAGCAAAGUGGACAAUCCUCAAGAACCAUUUGUCAGAUCUGCAAGAAGAUAGGUCAUGAAGCUUCUAGGUGUUGGUACCGCUAUGAUGAGGAUAAUGAAGAAGAGAACACCAAGGUUGCAGGAGCUGUCGGUGUUUAAACCCGGCAACCUACCACGGGAGUACCCGGGGUAGAGUUUUGGUUAGUGGGUGUCGCCAAAAUCAGGAACUCGAUGGUGUACGUAGGAACGCGAUUUAGACAGGUUCUGACUGCUAGAUCGCGUAAUACCCUACGUCCUUUGUGUUAUUUUGCUUGUAUUGGAUUGACUUGUUUGGAGGGGAUCCCUGCUCGCCCUUAUAUACUAGGGGAGUAGGGUUACAGGGUAGUUGUUCAACAAGAGUACUAGUUGGAUUCGACUACAGGGUACUACUCCAACUAGGACGAGUAGUUUCCUUGUCUUCGACUAGUCCCCUAAACUCCAUGUAGACCACGCCACCCUGUACCGUAGUCUUCAUGUUUUGAUAUGUUUCGGUGUACUUCUCCGUAUGUGGAUCCAUACAAACCUUCUGGUGGGCCCACGGAUGUAUGCACAACAGGCGCCACAACAAUUGGGUAUGGCUAUGACACUAACUGGUAUGGAGAUAGUGGUGCCACCGACCAUAUCACUAGUGAGCUUAAGAAGAUGAAACGGGAUCAAGUACACAUGGCUAGCAGAUCAGGUAUGAGCAUUAGUAAUAUUGGUCAUAUAACCUUACACACCCCUAGUAAAUAUCUGCAUCUAAACAAUAUUCUUCAUGUCCCUAGUGCCAAUAAAAAUCUUGUUUCUGUUCACAAACUUGCUCGAGAUAAUGAUGCCUUUCUUGAAUUCCAUCCUAAUUUCUUCCUUGUCAAAGAUCAGGCAACGAAGGCAAUUCUCCAUCGAGGUAGAUGUCGUAGUGGCCUUUAUCCUUUAGGUUCACCAUCCUCAAGUGGAAGGUCAAGGAAGCAAGUUUAUGGUGUCAGAACCGUCUACCUCUAGAUGGCAUAGUCAUUUGGGCCAUCCAGCUUUUCCCAUUGUUAAUCGAGUCCUUAGCAAUAAUAAGCUUCCUUAUGUUAGUGAUCAAACUCUCGAGUCAGUUUGUGAUUCUUGUCAAAUGGCCAAGAGCCAUCAAUUACCCUAUUUGUGAUCUGAUAAAAUUUCCAGUGCUCCGCUUGAUCUUGUUACCUCUAAUGUUUGGGGACCAGCGCCUACUUCUAUUGGGCGUCACUCAUAUUACGUAAGUUUUAUCGAUGAUUUCAGUAGAUACACUUGGAUCUUCCUUCUCAAGAAAAAAAUCAAAUAUUUUUCAAGUCUUUAGGGACUUCCAAAGCUCAGUUGAGCGGAGAUUUAAUAAAAAGAUUUUAUCUAUGAAAAUGGAUUGGGGAGUGAAUAUGAGAAGCUUAAUUCUUUCUUCCAACGCAUAGGCAUUGCUCAUAGGGUGUCAUGCCCUCAUGCUCAUCAACAGAAUGGUCUAGCAGAAAGAAAGUAUCGUCAUAUUGUUGAGGUAGGGUUAGCCCUUCUAGACAACGCUAGCAUGCCUCUUAUGUUCUGGGAUCAAUCCUUUCUAACAGCCACAUAUCUCAUUAAUCUCCUUCCUAGUAAAGUUCUUGACUAUGCAACUCUAGUUGAGCGCCUCUAUAAGGAAACACCUGAUUAUACCUCAUCGCGUACCUUUAGUUGUGCGUGUUGACCCAAUUUGCGACCAUACAACACACGCAAACUUGCUUUUCAUUCCCUUCGUUGUGCUUUCCUUGGGUACAGCUCCAUACACGAGGGGUUCAAAUGUCUGGAUGUCUCCUCUGGCUAGAUAUACAUUUCAUGGGAUGUGGUGUUUGAUGAGACAUAUUUUCCUUUUGCUCACUUACAUCCAAAUGCUAGUGCUCUUCUUAGGAAGGAAAUUCUUCUUUUACCAGAUUAUCUCUUGAAUUCAGGGGGUGUAGGCUGUAUUGAUCCCAAUAUUAAUGCUAACCCUGCUACAGAAGAACAUGUAAAUUUUUAGGAGCCAGCUGAAGAAAUUCCUACAUCAAAUGAUGCUGCCACAAUGCCAAACGGAGAUCCUCUGGUGUCCACAGGCGAUCCGGGCGCCCGUUCCCAGGCGUAUACGGCCAGACCAUGCGGAUCCGUCAGCUCCAGCUUAGUGCAUGGGGGGAGCAGAGGCGUGUCGGGCGCACCACCACCCUCUCCUAGUGCACUGCGUUCCCCUCUGUCGCCUGCACUGCAGCAACAAGCUGCGUCAGCACCGCCUGCACCUGCUCCGAAGUCGCCGCGUGGCUCGCUGUCUCCACCUCCUGCAGCGACAGCUCCGGUGGACGUUGGUGGAUCCUCUACGCUUAGUUCUAGAUCUAAUGUGGAGGCAGCUAUUUCACCUGAUCAGAUUCCAGGGCCAUCUCCUCCAAAGCGCACCAGAUUGAAAAGUGAUAUUGUAAAACCUAAAAAAUUCUUUGAUGGAAUUAUCAAAUAUGGAAAUUUCUGUGUCACAGGUUAACCUAAGUCUAUACAGGAGGCUCUUGAUGAUACCUAGUGGAAAAAAGCAAUGGAGGAUGAAUACAAUGCGCUCCUGAAAAAUCAGACUUGAUAUCUGGUCAAGGGAAAACAAAGUACAAAUGUGAUUGAUUGUAAGUGGGUAUAUAAAGUGAAAAAGAAAUAUGAUGGCACAAUAGACAGAUACAAAGCUUGAUUAGUAGCCAAAGGAUUCAAGCAACGGUAUGGUAUUGAUUAUGAGGAUACCUUCAGUCCAGUUGUGAAAAUUGCUACUGUUAGGCUUGUUCUAUCAAUUACAAUUUCCAAAGGAUGGUGCUUAAGGCAACUAGAUGUGCAGAACGUGUUUCUUCAUAGUGUUCUAGAAGAAAAGGUAUAUAUGAAACAACCACCUGGUUUUGAAAGUGCUAAAGGACCACAUAUGGUAUGUAGACUUGACAAAGCUAUUUAUGGUCUAAAACAAGCUCCUAGGGUAUGGUAUGCUAGAUUGAGUUCUAAGUUACUUGAUCUUGGAUUUAAUACUUCAAAAUUACAUAUCUCUCUUUCUAUUUAUCGUAAGGCUGGAAUAACAAUUUAUAUGCUCAUAUAUGUGGAUGAUAUAAUUGUUACAAGUUCUUCUAGUAAAACCGUAUCAGCUUUGAUGACUGAUCUAAAGAAGGAUUUUGCCUUGAAAGACUUGGGAGACUUGCAUUAUUCCUUAGGCAUCGAAGUGCAAAGAGACAAGGAAAGCUUGCUUCUGUCACAAGAAAAAUAUGCAAAUGAAAUACUAGAGAGAGUAGGGAUGACCAAAUGCAAGCCUUCGCUAACUCCUCUGUCAACGUCAGAAAAGCUCUCAAGAUAUGAAGGCAAACCGCUGAGUGUAGAAGAUAGUACCCGCUACAGGAGUAUAGUUGGGGCUCUUCAGUAUCUUACUCUCACUAGGCCUGAUAUAUCAUUCUCAGUAAAUAAGGCGUGUUAAUUUUUACAUGCACCACGGAUCUUUGGACAGCUGUUAAAAGAAUUCUCAGAUAUGUCAAACUUACUGCUAGUCUCAGGUUACACAUUCAAAGAUCCAAGUCAUUGUUGCUAAGUGUUUUCUCAUAUGCUGAUUGGGCAGGAAGUAUUGAUGACAGGAAAUCUACAGGUGGGUUUGCAGUAUUUUUGGGACCUAACCUUAUUUCUUGGAGUGCUAGGAAGCAAGCUACUGUCUCUCAUUCAAGUACAGAAGCGGAAUACAAGUCUGUGGCAAAUGCAACUGCAGAAGCAAUACGGAUGGAGUCACUAUUCAAGGAGCUUGGUGUUAAACUUGAUAAACCACCAUGUCUCUGGUGUGAUGACUUGAGAGCAACAUACUUUUCAGCUAACCUAGUCUUUCAUGCUAGAGCCAAACACAUUGAAAUUGAUUUCCAUUUUGUCAGAGAGCGUGUAGCUAACAAGCAACUGCAGGUUCGGCUUAUUUCUACCAAAGAAUAGAUUGCUCAUGUCUUUACAAAGGCUUUACCAGUUGGGAAGCUUGAAGACUUCAUGAACAAUCUAAAUCUCAAGGCUAAGGAGAGUUUAGAUUGAGGGAGGAUGUUAUAAUUAGUUAAGAUCUUCUUGUAACCGAGUCCUACUCAUGUAGAUCUUAAUGUGCAGGUUGUUGCGCGUGAGAUAGAGAUAGAGAUAGAAUAGAUUUUUAAUCUUCAAGUUGUAAUCCAAACAAACUCUCAUGUCAGUCCACGUUCCACCAAAUUCACACAGUGUGUCCGUGAAGUACCUUGCAGGAAUCUGAAAUGUGGCUAGGAUGUUGAUUCCGGACAAGAGAAUAACAUUUGUUUAUGUGUAUGUAGGGUGCCGUUUUUAUUCAUGAAUCCAUAUGCAAUUAUUAAAACUAAAAAUGCAAACAAAAGUUACUCAUGAAUAAAAAAAAUAUCCACGGCAGAAUUUUAAGUCCUGCAUGAAUAAAAAUAUAUAUCUAACUUUGUGCUUAUGAAGGGAUACUUUAAAUCUUUUUUGGGUCAUCGCACACUGCGCUUGGAUACAUAGAAGGAACCAUUAUACAGUGAUACACUGGUGGUGCCGUGCACACUAUAACAAAUACAGUAAUAACCAUUCUCUUGUGCUUCAUACACAAACUACAAAUACAUAGCAUAGUUAUACGUGUCACACGAUGUAAAACAUUAAGAAUUACCUUCUCAUCAAGAAGUUCCAAGUGACAACCACAUGAACGCACAUCGUGUGAUACAAGUAAUCAAUGGAGGCGAAAUAGGAAUACCUCAGUCCCUUAUGUAACAACAUAAUGCAGAACACCAUCCAAAGGCCAAACACGAACCCGAUAAUCAUGCUCAGGUAGAUGGAGUUCACCAUCCCAUUGUCCUUCUGCUCAGGCUCAUCAACUGGAGAAUUACUUGUUCCAUUUCCAGGGCAACCCUUUGGGAGUGGAGGACCACAUAAACCAAUGUUUCCAACAUACAUCGAUUCCGGGUCAUCAGUUGCUAGCGUCUGAAGUUGAUUCCCUGUUGGUAUUCUUCCGCUUAGAUUGUUAUACGAGAGGUUGAAGCUGGCCAAAGAAGUUAGAGCUGAUAUGCUAGAAGGGAUCUCUCCAGAUAGCUCAUUAUGUGAUAAGUCGAGGGACUCCAAUGCCUUGAGGUCACCAAUGUUAUUGGGAAUUCUCCCGCUUAAAUGAUUCCAAGAAACAUUCAAGCUUUUCAAAGCAACCAGAGCACUAAUGCCUUGAGGAAUUUGCCCAGUCAAAUUGUUACAUGAUAAAUCAAUAUUUACCAUGUACUGAAUUCCUUGAGAUAAUUCAAGCUGUUGCCCUUUGGUUAGAACUGACGUGGUCUCUGUAAAGAAAAUCGUAGGACUAUAAGUUUCCACGCCGCCGAUUCCAGAUCCUUCUACUUCAUCAAGGGAACUAUAUCCGUUGGAGCGAGCCAUUGCACUCAAGUUCACCAUGGACUCAGGUAUUUGACCAGAAAUGCGGUUACAUGCAAGGUCAAUAUAUUGAAGCCCUUGAAUCGUUGCAAGUUGAAUGGGAAUAUUGCCAGAAAAGUUAUUGGACCGCAGUCGUAGCCAUGCUAGGGAUGGCAACUUAUCUCCUAACCAUGCUGGCAAAUUCCCAGAGAAUUGGUUAUAUGCAAGAUCAAGGAAAAUUAAAUCUUGGGACAUCUGAAGAGCUGACGGGAAAACUCCUGAAAGAUUAUUGCUAUUUAAGUUAAGUGCAUGCAUAUAUUUGUAAGAAUCGGAAUCUCCUUUGCAAGUGGGCAACUCUCCUGAUAACAUGUUUCCUGAUAGGUCUAGUAUAUACAGGUGUUGCAUGAGGCACAGCGACAAUGGUAUACUGCCAGAAAUUGAAUUGUUAUAAAGAGAAAAAAUCUGUAAAUUCAUGGCUCCAAAGUCUGGUAGUGUUCCUGAUAAAUUGUUUCUGGAGAGGUCAAGAUACUGUACAUUUCUGGGAAAACGUGGAACUGGACCUGCAAAUCUGUUACUACUAAGGUCAAUGAUUUCUGCCGCCAACAUUUCAAGACUUGCUGGUAAUGUGCCAGUUAAUAAAUUUUUUGACAUGUCCAAAAUGGAAGCUGUUGAAACUACGACCCACAACCAAUCGGGUACAUUGUCAUAUAUGGUUGCAUUUGAAAUGUCAAGAACAUUGAUACUCCUUUGCCAUCUAAUCCAUGAUGGGAACGCAGGUCCAAGCUGGCAUGAUCUGAAACUGGCCACCUUUAAUUUGAAUGAAGGAAUCCAAUUUGAGUGUACCUCCAUGGAAAGAGAGUUAUCAGACAUUUCUAGUACUUGUAAAUUUGUCAAUGCUUCCAGGUGCUCUUCAUUUAUUUCACCAACCAGCCAGUUAGAACCAAGAUUUAAUAUAGUCAAAUUGUUAAGUCCUCCUAUCCACAAUGGUAAAGAGCCCGUGAUACCGUUACCAUACAAAUUUAAGGAAGUCAGAUUCUUUAGAGGCUGUAACCAAUUUGGAAGGUUCCCGGCCAAUUCGUUAUAGGAAAAGUCCAACACGUACAGCUUGUUCCAUGAACAUUUUGGAAGCCUGUCCAUCAAAUCACCUAUAUCCCCAGUGAUAUUAUUAAAUGAAAGAUCCAUAAUCUUCAAGUUACAUAGGUUCUCCCAAUUUGGUGGUAUCAUACUCGUAAUAUUGUUGUCACCUAUAUAAACUUGCUCAAGUGAGGUUAUAUUUCCCAUCUCAUAAGGAAUUGGGCCUUGGAAGCCAGAUGAGGAGAGGCCAAGAUAAGUCAAUGUCCUUAUGUGCCAAAACCAACUGGGAGAAAUUGUAGUAUGAAAGGAGUUGUAGCUGAUGUCCAAUACCUUAAGUGCUGUUAGAUUAGAAUGGCUGAGAAUGGUAUUUGUGUUUCUUAGAUCGCUGACACUUAGAUAAAGAACUUCUAGUGAUGGAAGGCUGCUAAUUCCAUAAAUCCAGUCUACUGCGGCGCUAAGAUUCGCCCAGCUCAUGUCAAGGUACUUCAGUUGGGAAAGAUGUGACACCCAUAUAAGGCUGUCUGAGUAUAGAUAGCUGCAGUAAUAAUUGUUCCCGAGAUCAAGAUAGACGAGGUUGGAUAGAUUACCUAGCUGCGGAGGUAUUCUCCCCAAAAAUUGCGCAAAGGAAAGGUUGAGGUAUUCAAGAUUUUUAAGGGAGCCAAUAAACUUUGGGAUGCUUGAACCAUUGAAGUAGUUACAACUCAAGUCUAAAUACUUCAGAUGUUGCAAUUCAACUAAGGAGGAGCUCAUCUCACCUCCCAGUGCGUUCUCCGAAUGACCAACGUCACCAUGGAGAUCGAGCUUGACAACAUGGCUGGUUCUGUUGCUGCAGUGAACACCCUUCCACUGGCAGCAAUCCUCUCCCUGCCAUGAUGAGAGUUGGCCCCCGGGAUCUAAUAAGCCGGCCUUCAAUGAGAGCAGCGCAUCCCUCUCACUUGUGAUGCAUCUCCCAUUCGAUCUCUUAGCUUGAAGGGAGGAACUUGAGGGCAUGGGCAGGAUCAGAAGCAGCCAGGUUAGGACUGUUCCUUGGAGAAGCUGGAACCUCACCGCAGCCAUUUUCAGCACGUAUGAGAUAUGAGUGCAGUAUCAAUGUCUCAACUCUCAAACCUGAUCGUUUUAAGCCUAAUCAGACCACUAAUCAUGAUUAGGCGAUGACUAACUGGACGACUAGCUUUCUGGUCGCUCAUGACUAACUGGCGGUCCAGAAUGGAUUUGACCGAAGUCAAUACCGGUCAACCCCACCGCCGCUCCAUUGUUUUCCUAAAAAUUCCCGAGUUUUAUAGUUUUUGCACUUGAGGUCCUGCGUAGUUUAAUAGUAAUUAGAUUUAGAUCCUUUUCCUUUUAUUUAAGCCCCUGCUCUUUUUAAAAUCAUCCCUGCCGUCCUAACUUUCUAGUCGCUCAUGCCUAGUCGCUGGUCCUUAUCGGUUCUAGGGGAGAGAUAAGCCCGACGAAUCGUGAUUAGGGCCUGUUUGGCUCCAUGGUGUUAAGUUUAACACCCGUCACAUCGAAUGUUUGGAUGCUAAUUAGGAGUAUUAAACAUAGACUAAUUAUAAAACUAAUUGCACAGAUGGAGUGUAAUUCGUGAGACGAAUCUAUUAAGCCUAAUUAGUCCAUGAUUUGACAAUGUGGUGCUACAGUAACCAUUUGCUAAUGAUGGAUUAAUUAGGCUUAAUAGAUUCGUCACGCGAAUUAGCACAGGGUUCUGCAAUUAGUUUUAUAAUUAGCUCAUGUUUAGUUCUCCUAAUUAGCAUCCGAACAUUCGAUGUGACACUGUUAAAGUUUAGCACCUCGUAUCCAAACGCCCCCUUAGUCGGGCAACUUUGUCGCACAAUCGUGACUGAGAAUGAUAUCAUCCACACAAUUUUGUCGCACAGCUGUCACAUGCUACCAUUAUUUGUGGUUAAUAAAUGCUAUGGAAAGAUAUGAGACAAAAUUCUUAUAGCCAUACUGUUCUGUUUGAACGCGUUGACAAAUUCCCUGCAGUAGUGCAUACCCGCAUAGCUGGCUAAUGCCUGAACAGCACUCGAGACACUUCUGUGGUCUGUAUAGACUGUCCAGUCAUCUUUCCAUGAUCGAAUGGAAUCUGCGCGUGCCUAGCCUACAAGUAAAUUACGUAAACUUAAAAUCUUAAACCCACGACUGUCGGUGUUUUAUACUGGCCGUCUACCAAGGGGUACCCGAGGUAGCAGAAUGUGUAAUGGGGGAUCGCCGGACCUGGAACUUGAAGGUAAAAGUGAGGACACGAGACAUAGAUUUAGACAGGUUCGGGCCGCCGGAGUAGCGUAAUACCCUAUGUCCUGUUUGGGUGUGUUUGUAUAUUGCGCCCUGCGCUUGGGUGUUGAGGUGUGACCUGCCGAGCUAGGUACCCCUGCCCUCCUUUAUAUACUUCAGGGGCAGAGUACUAGUCAGAUUACAAGGAGGAGUCUUAGUAGGAUUACAUGGGAUGAGUCCUAGCAGGAUUACAGGGGAAUCAUAGUAGGAGUCUGACUUCUUCCUUCCUUGCGAGUAUUGGGGAUGUAUCCCCGACAAUGACUUUCACUAAUUUGCACAAAACAUUAACUAGAUCAUACCUUGUAAAUAUGCAUUUACUUUGAUCCCUAUUAUUACUACAGUGUGAGAAUUCAAGGGAGACUGUUCGUUUGGCAAGCAAGGUGUUGAGAUCGUAGCCUUAGAUAUCUUUGCUAAGAAUGGAUAUAGAAACAAUAAUAGGCUUUGCUUAUAAUUUUUCUCCUUUUCAUUUGCGUACUAUUUUCCCUUUUAUUUAUAAUCAGCUUAUAAGCUGAAAAUUCUGUGAAAACUUGGUUGUGUACAGUCACAUAGGCCGAAAACUAUUCUUUUUCUAAAAAAUUGGAGAACGAGCUUGACAACAUGGAUGGUUCGGUUGCUGCACUGGACACCCUUGCACUGCAGCAAUCCGCCUCUCCUUUCCAUGAUAAGAGUUGGCCUCCCGGAUCUGAUAAGCCGGCCUUCAAUGAGAGCAGUGCACCCCUCUCACUUGCAAUGCAUCUCCCAUUCGAUCUCUUAGCUCGAAGGGAGGAACUGGAUGACAUGUGUAGGAUCAGAAGCAGCCAGAUUAUGGCUGUUAUUUGGAGAAGCAGGAACCUGCUGCAGCCAUAUUUGCAAAUCUAUAUCGAAAUGGAAGCAUUGGUCUUAUUCGAUGGCAUCCGUUUCAGCAGUCAAAGUCUUGGUCGUAUUGUCUGAAUGGUAUCCUCCACGUUUCACCAUCAGAUAUGAAAGAUAGCCAUCGUAUAUUUUCAGUCAAUUAAUACUAUGAAAAGACAUGAGUACAUGAGACGAAAUUUCUUAUUGAACGUGCGUGGACCGCCGUGUUGCAUUGACGAUUACCUAUCACUCCGUAGCAUAGUUGCACAGCUGUGCAAGCCCUUGUUUACUUCCCAAGUUGGGAGGUGCCAAAUUGGUAUUUUACCAUAAAUGCGACACUGUAGCGUUUCGUUUGUAUUUGUGAAUUAUUGUCCAAAUAUUGACUAAUUAGGCUCAAAAGAUUCGUCUCGCAAAGUACAACAAAACUGUGCAAUUAGUUUUUGAUUUCGUCUACAUUUAGUACUCCAUGCAUGUACCGCAAGUUUGAUAUGAUGGGGAAUCUUCUUUUUGCAUAGUGUCAAAGUUGGGAAUUUGGAGGGAAGUAAACAAGGGGUAAGUCUUGCAGCAGUUAAAGCCCACAUAAUAAUUUAUCUUUAUUUUUUAUUAAACAGGAGGGGUCAGGCCCUGCUAGUUAUACGUUACAAUGAAUGACGAGUUAUGUACACGCUACCUCCGUUUCAAAUGGAAAAUCAUUCCAAUUUUUUUGAAAAAUCAAAUAUCUUAAAUUUGAUCAAAUUUAUACAAUAAAGUACUAACAUUUAUGAUACCAAAUAAAUAUUAUUAGUUGUUUAUUAAAUAUAUUUUCAUAGUAUAUCUAUUCGGUGUCAUAAAUCUUUAUAAUCCUCUCUAUAAUUUUGGUCAAACAUAAAUGAUUUGACUCUUCAAAGAGUUGGAAGGAUCUGAAAUUUGAAACGGAGGGAGUAAUUCAUAAGAAAAAAGAGAGGAUAUUACACUAUAUUCUAUGGGCAUAAAUUCUAAUUGAUGGAUGAUACGCCUUAUAAAACCACUUCUUGCCGUCCAAUCGGGGUACGCAAGCAUCUAUUGCUUUUUUGUGAUGUGAUGCACCGAACCAUUCUCUGCUAGGGACUGCCAUCAUUGCUAGUUCAGGUCGGCUAAGCAUACAGGAGUAUCUGCCGAUGCAGUACCAAAUUUACCAGAUACUAGCGUAAACUUUAGCAGGGUCUGGUUCGGAUAUUAAUUAAGAGGAUAAAAUAUAAGUUAAUUAUAAAACUAAUUCGUGAGAUAAAUCUGUUAAGCUUAAUUAAUCCAUCAUUAGCAAAUGGUUAUUGUAGCACCACAUUGUCAAAUCAUGGACUAAUUAGGUUUAAUAGAUUUGUCUCGAGAAUUAGACUCCAUUUGUGCAAUUAGUUUUGUAAUUAGCCUAUGUUUAAUACUUCUAAUUAGUAUCCAAACAUCUGAUGUGACAGGUGCUAAACUUUAGGAGGAGCCAAACAUGAGAUUAGCAAGUGAAGGGGAUUGCAUCCAUGCUUAAUCUCAGUGCACUCUCCCUGUACAGUGUGACACCCACCAAAGAAGUACUGUUUUUCUUUUAUUUUUUCUUGAGCUUUGUGAUGUGUUUCAGCUUUUGUAAUGUAAGGUCGGGCGCACACAAGCAUAGUUGAAACACAAGCAUAGCUGAAUUUACACCCGACCGGAGGUUCCCUCCGGUCGACGACACAUCACGCGUGCAUGCUUGGUCGCUGGCCCACCAUCCCCUCCCCAUGAGAAGAUUAGGCUCCUAUCCACCUAGCUUAUCCCAUUUCUUUUCCCGUGACUCUCAUUCCCUUUGCCUUUUCUCUCUCCCCGCAGACCUUGACCGAUGACCGGUGGAGAAACUGAGAGGGCUCGGAAGCAUCUCGCAGAGGCCGCAUAGUGCCCUCGCGCGGGGAUGAGCGCCCCCCUGAGAGUGGAGAGCUUCGCCAGCGGGGAAGGAUCGAGCAGCCUGUGGUGUAGCGGCGCACGAGCCCGGUGAAAAUAGCGAAAUUUCUGUAAGGAGAAAUCUGACUCCCUGUAUCCUCGUGAUAGUCCCUGGAACAGUAGUUAUCACAUACUAAACUCAUUUCAGCAAAAAUAUCACUUCCAUACCUCGAUAACAAUACAAAUUUAUUUAUUAUAUCCCAAAAUAUGAAAGUACGAUCUGGUUCAUGCCCCUUGGGCUAAACGACAUGAAUAAAGCCAACACAGCGCUACCUGGAAGCAUCUCCAUCUUCACGAUCACCUCCACAGGCAUUCUUGAGCGUAGCACAGCAACGCUCAGUUGUACCAACCGUCGUGGUUGUUGUCGAAGUCAUACUCGUUACCUGCAAACUCACAAGCUGUUCCCAAGAAUUAGGACAAGUUCACGUCACCAUCCGUAUGCAAGCUUUAAGUGGCCUAAUACUAAGGGUCAAAAGUAGACAAGGAGUAGGUUCGGGUUUACUAAGGAGCAAGCAUAAAGAUAAACUCUAUAUCCAUCAUCCCAAUCUCUCAGCACAUCGGGCACACCUGCCUAGACAGGGUCCCUAUCACCAACAUCCUAACUCCAAACUUGGGUCGAGGAGAAGACUCCCUCUCUUCGCCUCUCAACACCUACAGCCGGAUCCUAAAGGGAAAGGGAGCAACUUCCCCUCUUCCUGAUUGCAGAUGCGGCUCACAUCACACAUAGGUAGCUCUAAGGGGGAGGUAAAGAUAUCCGAAAACAAUGGAGAGUUGUGACGUCACAGGGUUGUCCAUGACCGAGGACGCGGCUAUACGUAUAGUUUUAACUCUGUAGAGUGUGUACACCUGGACCCAUCUCGAAGUGAGUGCAAACGGUCCAUCGACCGAGAGAAUGUCACCCUACCGAGCGAAGAACCUGGGAGUUACGAUACCAUCCUGCAACCGGGCUCGGAUGCAAUCCCCCGUAGUGGAUCACCCCAGAAUUGUGAAGAACUCCCACCGGGGCCAAUCGGGGGUAAAAGCAAAUAGGGGGGCUAAAGGUCAACACCACUCCCCCUACUCUUAUACUCUAUUCUACGACAAGUAUGGUAUUGCACUUGCUAGUCUCGACCCGGGCCUAAACCCAUAAUUUGGCGAGUGGCAUGCACAUUUAACAUAUUCCUAUGAAGCAUGGCGACCCACUCGGUUUCAGACCGGGGUGAGCUCCUAACUCCCAAAAGCGUCCCCACAACGUGGUUCGCAGCAGCACCCAUAACAAGUAUCACCCCCAACUUCUAUGCUCCUCAUUUGUGUACUCGCAACAAGUACCAAUCAGGAAACAUCCGAGAAUGGACCUCAAGUCCCCAAUCCAAAGAUUGGGUUGUGUAAAGCUCACCCCCGUCAAGUAUCCCAAAAUCACCUUCUCCUGCCAGUUUUAAUCCCACACACGUCAAGAAUUCUAAUCACAAUAUCCCAUACACAUGCAAGCAUCACACAUAACAUAUAUAAGUAGUAUGGUAGUAGGUCGAAUAAGGAUUCAAGGCAUAAAGAAGGUCAUGCAAGGUUCAUCAUCAUGUGAGGAAAUAAAGUGCUAGCAUACUAAUUUAGCAAUGCCUAGUGGGUAUUCAAAUUGAAUGGGCGUGAACCUAAGUAGUCUUUCUCCUCGUAGUAGUCCUCGAACGGCUCUAGCUCCGGGUUCAGCCCUGAGUCGCCGGCAGCUCGUAAUUACGCAAUUACCAUAAUUACUGGGAUUCAAGUUACAAAGUAACUCCAAAAGAGAUCCAAAGAAGAACCAAAUAAGAACAAAGCCUAGUCUAAUGUGUGCUGCAUGAUUUUAGGAAAAUUAUGAAACUGGUCUCAUAAUUUUUGGAAUUAUAAUGACUUAGUUAUGACUUUUUGAAGUUGAAAACAUUUUUCGGUAUUUUGAUAUGAUAGGCGAAAAUAGAAAACAAAGAAGUUAGCUGUUUUAUUGGCCGUAGGUCAGCUGCAAUCUAGAUGCAAACUGCCACAAUGGUUUACAGGUAGCUUUUGAGGUUUACAGGCAGGUAGCUAUAUGCUGGUGUGGGGAGUUUUUGGUUUCUGGGGAUGAAAACCGGAAGCUUCGACUUUGGAACUGGAAGUUUCGAUUUGAAACAGGAAGUUCUGGUUUAGGAAACUGGAUGUUCCGGUUUUGAAACAAGAAGUUCUGAUUUAGGAAAACUGGAUAUUCCAGUUUGGGAACUGGUAGUUCUUGUUUUCCACGAGUAGAUCUCUCCCCUUGGUGGGAAUCUCCUGGGAAGGGCUAUGGAUGGUCCUGGAAAGUUAGGGUUCACCACUUAAGGGUUUGGGGUUCGUUUGGCUGAGAUUUUCUAAGGUUUCUAGAGAUACUACAGGCUGGGCUAAGCAGAACUAGAAGUUCCAGUUUGGAAACUGGAAGCUCCGGUUUUGCUAAGGUUCGGUCAUGAUGAGCUUUGCGAAUGCACGAGUGCGCGGUUCAGGUCACAGAUGCAGCGGUGUUUCACCCAGGCGAGCGAGGUUGUGAGACUCACCUGGUGGGCUUGGGGACGAGGGAAGAAGCGGUGUGGUGAAGAGGUGAAAUGAAUGGGUGUGGGCUUGGUGGCUCUCCGGCGGGGCAGCGGCGGUCUCCUCCUCCUCCGGCAUCCUCUCCCCGUCCCCUGCACCCCCUCCUCCCUUCUCCUCUUCUCCAAACAGUGGCGGGUGAAGGGGAAAACCCCAAUUUUGGAUGGGGACGGGAGUGGAUGGUGGGGAGCUCUAAUAGGAGGCAGCUAGGGUUCUGCGUAAUGAUGGAUGGUGGAGGAUGCGGCCGGGCAGUGUGGCAAGCAUCCGAAGGCGCCAGCGUGAAAAGUUAAUGUGGGCAGGCCGGCGUCGUGCGCAGCACGCACGUCAUUGUCGUGCCUUUGCCGCGUGCAUCUGCACUGACGAGAGGGGCCAAGCGGUCAGCGACUUCGGUGCAGAGGCGGUGUGGGAAAAAAACCAGAGGUUCCGGUUUUGGAAGACUGGAAGUUCCGGUUUUUGCUGCAGCCUUAGGUUGGGUUGUUAGAUAGGUGGGCCCGUGAGGUUAGUUGGGUUGGUUUGGGCUCAGGUUAGGUUUAGUUAGUUCUUCUUGUUUUAUUUGUAUUUGAAUUAUAAAUCCCACUCAAACAAAUCCAAAUAAAUUCCAAAUGAACUCGAAAGAUUCACACUAGCACCUAUAACACCUUAGCAUUUUAUUCUAAUCUAUAAGUCAAUUUUAGAAGGUUUGGGUGAGAUUCACUGAAGACACUCUUAUAGUUUGGAAAAUUUCACUCCACAACACAAAAUUUUUUGAAAUCCACAUUUUUGCAAAUCCAAACAUCCCGUAAAAAUACGGGAUGUUACACCCGGGGGUGCAGCUGCAACUAGCGGCGUGUGGGUGAGCGCGUAGCGACGACACUACGACAGAAGCGGGUGGGAGCACAACGGCAGCCCCGGUGAGCGUCUGCGCUCGGCUGUGGUGAUAGGCCCAGAGAGCAACAGUGAUUCACAAGGAGGUUAUUGGCUGCGCAUGAUGCACGGCAGGGGGAUACGAUGCAGCAGCCUCGCCGGCAAGCUCCUGGAAGCAUCAUUCCUUUUUUUCUACUUUUUCUCUCUUUUGUUCUAGAUUUUGUUGCAAGAGUUUUGUACAAAACAUUUUCAAAUUCUGUUCACAAUUUUUUUUCUUCAAUUUUUCUCAAAAAAUUUUCUUAGCUUUUCUCAAUAUGUUUUGUAAAUUUUGUCUCAACUAUUUCUUCCAAUUUUUUUCUACCAAUUUUUUAAAAAAGGUAGAAAAAGUUUUGCGUCAAAAAUGGUUUCAUGUUACUUUCUUGUUUAUCGAAAACUUUGUUCAAAUUUUUUCUGAUAUUUUUGUUUCAAAAAUUUGGUUUCCUUUUUUAAAAAAAUUAUAUAAACUUUUUUAUUCUUUGAAUUUUUUGUAUAAAAAUUUUUUCAUGCAAAAGUUUUUGUUGAUUUUUGUUCUUGAUUUUCUAUCCCAAAACAUUGUUUGUAUAAUUUUUGCAACAUCUGCAAUGGUGGACGUAAUAGACGGGGCACUGGUUGGUUGCAGCAUCAGCACAUGUGUGCAUGUGUAUGCUUGUGUCGGGAAAGAGGGGAAAAAAUAAUGGCGUAGGUGGUACCGAAGCUGGAAAGAGAAAGUAAAUGCGGUUGGAAAUUAACCCAUGUAGGUGUGUCCUAGCAUACCGAAGUUAGUAGUUUUACGACUCGAACUUUAUAACCACUAGUAAGGUGCCCGUGCUUUGCAACGGUACCCAAUUCAAAUACUAUCUUUAAUUUAUACAUAAUGUUCAAGUAGUUUGUUUUACAUACAAAUGGAACAAAACACAAUAUUUAUAAUUAAAUUAUAAGUAGAAAUAUGUCCCAUACAAAUUUAAAUUAUAAAAAUACUCCUAGAUUUGAUUCAAUGACCAUAUAGAAAUCAUAUAUCAACCAAUGUUACAACAUUUCAACAAAAGUUCUGCCUUCAACAAAACAUCUUGUCAAUUUUCUUGCAGAUGACACAAUCCAUGUAAGGUAAGAACCAGAUGUUUUUUCAGGUAUUGUAAAAGCACGUUUACCUGAUGGUGUGUCAUAGCCAGUACAAGCCCUUUUUUCUUUUCCUUAUGCUGGAGUGGUGUGAUAUAUAUGUGAGGGAUAUGGGUACCCAUAAGUCCCCACCAACCAGGAUGCUGGCCGGACCCGACAAGUAGGCCCACCUGACCAGGGUGUGUGGGCUAAGGACAUGAAGUUACUUGGAGUGCACGACAAGGCAACUAGAUUGUCUUAAUCUACCUGAAUAUUGUGGGAUGCGUAUUGUAAUCCGACAUAAGAAUACCUUCCAUGUAAAGACCGAGUAGAUUAGAUUCAAACCGACUUGUAACCCUUGGUCGUCAGACUAUAUAAGGCAGCCAAGGGCACCCCGGGGACAUGUCAUCCCAUACCAAGCAAUACAAUCCACGCAUACAGGACGUAGGAUAUUACUCUCUGGAGGUCCAAACCUGUCUAAAGUCUUUGUGUCCCUUUGUGUUCUCGCGAUCACCAUCGAGUUCUUGAUUUUGCAAUCACCCUCACAUACAAAUCAACCACCUAGGUAACCCCCUGGUGAACUGCCAGAUCUGUAACUCCGACAGUUGGUGCGCUAGGUACGGGAGGUUGCCAGAUUAGCUUUUGUGACCUUGAUGGCAUCCCAUCCCAGCGUUGUUUUUCCCGAGAGCAUGAAGGAUUUUCUGAACAACCUAGUGCAGAUCCAAUUUGGAACCAUGCCAGUGGAUUCUGUUCCGACCACCUUCUCCGUCAACUCGGCGGCUUCCGUCAACUCAGCAGCUCCCGUUGUCUCGGUGACUCCCAUCAACUCGGCAACUUUAGCUAACUUGGCGUCCAGCAGAUUCUCCACCCAAGGAUCAUCAUGCCACUCGCCUAGCAAGUUGGCAAACUUUUCGUCUCGGAGAGGCUUCGAAAUCUAGUUGUUGGCGCCCACCAACCCAUGCGCUCAGAUUUGAUUGCGGGGUUAGAUCGUAUCAGCAGCACUACCGCUGAGUGUAUAGAGAUGUCCGAGGCAGCGUUGCAUGAAUCCAGGUCAGCAUAGGGUCCGUCCUGCGCCCCCUUCAGACUACAGAAAUCAGCUUCCAAGAACUCUGCCAGGAUUGCAAGUCUUCCAGAUCCAAUCUGGAGACCCAUCUGAACCCGCCCAGUCUCUGGAUUGUGGUGAAUUCGAAGUGCCUCACAUCGUCCUAACGCCAAAUCCUUAUGGAAGUGACAAUGAGAGCAAGUAUUCUAUACUAGAUUGUGAAGCAUUAUUUGUCUCCAUUGACGAGCCACCUUACAAUGGCGAAACGAAAUCUCAAGAAGAAGGCCGUAACACCAGAAACAGAAACCGUGCAGAACGACGUCAACAGGAGCAAGCUGGCGCCCAACAGCAACCUGUCAAAAAUUCGAAUACAGUAGGUGACCAGCGCCAACAGUUGCGCCAUGAGCGUGAUAAUGCCGACAAGGGGGUGCUCGGGACAGGCGCAGGCACUCUGCGCAUGCCCGAAAUCUACUCGGUGACCUUGACCAAGCGGGCCCCAACAUUUUCACUACACCAACGUCCAACCUAGGGGCUGCUAUCGCCGAGCUAGAAAACCUUUCGGACUUGGACCAAGUCCGAUGAGCCAAAGCACGACUUCAAGCUGCCAACGCUCAAAUUGAGGCGCAAUUCAACGACCGACACUCUCGGUCCACAUCCUCUCGACAUUCUCGGAGCCGAUCUGGACACAGCAGAUCUGAUCGACGUCAAGGCAAACGUGCGGGUGGUCGGCUAGAUCUAAUUCGCAAAGAAAAGGUGGACCAAAACGUUGUCCAGCCUCCUAAGCCAAAGGCCAUCAACAAUGCAAACCCACUAGGCAACCCGGCUGCCAACAAUACCAAUCCGCCCGUUAACAACGCUCUUUAGCAAGACAACUAUGACAACCAACCGUGCGGUGGGAGAGGCAAUGAUGGAGACCAAGGUCGACCAGAACGCGAUCUUCGUGAUGAGCUACGUGAACUCCGUCAGAACCGUGACAUAUGCGCCGACCUAAACAAGCGCCACAACGAGCAGGAUGCAUAUGAGGUCCGUCGCCGCGCUGAGUAUGAUCAUGACUACGGCGCUCCUGUACCCAACCGCAACGCGAUGCGUGAUGACCAACAUCGACAGAAAGAUGAGAUGCGCCCUCGCGCUGACUACAACCGUGCAUAUGGUGCCCCCGGAGGCGCCCACAACCCGCCCAAGCACGAAUACAACUACGAAGACGACUACAACCUAUCCAAGCGCGACUGCGAUUAUGAAGAUGACUACUACCCGCCUAGACGCAACUACAGCGAAUGUGGCAGGCCAGCUCCCGACCAAUACUACUUUGACGAAGAUUACAAUGAUGACAUGGCAAUUGACGGCUUCGCUACUUUCACCCCACGCCAUCGAGCGGUUCAUUCGCCGCCCACUUUCAAACCAGCCAUCAACGAGAAAUAUGAUGGGCGCUCCGACCCCACCAUUUGGCUUAAGACAUACAACACCGUAGUAAAAGCAGCCAACGAUACUUCCUAGUGGUGAUGAGCGCCGCUCCACUUUUGUGGCUAGAGAAUCCUCCAAACAACAUCGACAGUUGGGGUUAGCUCACUAGAGCUUUCACUCAGAAUUAUCAGGCCACCUACAGCUGACCUGGCAUCAGGGAAAAACUCGGAGAAGUCCAUCAGUUGAUAGGUGAGCCAUUUCGAGAAUACGCCAAUCACGUUUUUGAGAACAACAACAGGCUGGGUGGCAUUGAUGACCGUGAUAUCAUUUGGUACUUUUGCAUUGGCUUGACAAACCAUAGGAUGUUCGAGAAGUUGUAUGAGGCAAAACUAAAGACGGUUGGACAGAUGAUAGAAGUUGUCAACGAUCAAGCUGACAUUGAGGAAGCAUCAAAAGUCCAAUGCCAAAGACACUCCCAGGCUGAUGAUUACAAUUAGCGAAUCCACGACAAGCCCCGAGCACAUCCAGACCACUGAUUUCGAAAAAGGGCCCCAGAGGUCUACGCUACUAAAGGUGACCUGACCAGGCAGAGCACCUUCAACCAAGAAGAAUUCGAUGAAACCCUCAGCGGACUGUGCCCUUUCCACUAGGACGCGAGUCAUACUUUGCGAGACUGCAUGGCUUUGAAAAAAGAGCUCAAUGCCCCAAUGGAAUAUAAACGACCUCGCCGAAAUGAAUACCGUCGGGAUAACAACAAGAGUGACUACCAUGGUCAUGAUGGUGACCGUCGCCGAGACAAUCAUGACAACCGCAAUGGUGAUGAACAUGACGAACACAACAGUAGACGCGAUGACCAUGACAACAGAGAAGAGCGAUGUGACCAGCUGCAGCAAGAUGCCCAACAGCCCAUCGCCGACCAAAAUGGAGAUUUGCAAUGGCCUAAACGCCAAGUCAACAUCAUUGUAGGUGGCCGCAAUGCCUUUUGCAGUAACCGCCAGAAGAAGCUACGACAUGAGAGGUCCACUUCAUCUCAGUAGAGCCAUCAAUACCUGCGAUGGUCCAAGCAGACCAUAACCUUCUCUAGGCAAGAUCAUUGGGUCCACAUCCCAAAUCCCGGGUCCUACAUGUUGGUGGUUUGCUCGAUCAUAGAUCGGGUCCUACUCCCAAAGGUGCUGAUUGAUGACGGUAGUGGCCUCAACAUCAUUUUGAUUGAGACAUUGAAGCGCAUGGAUUUUUCUUUCAAGCGGCUCCAGCCUUGCGAAGAACCCUUCUACGGCAUUGUUCCUGGAAAAGGAUCAUACACCAUUGUCCGAGUUGUUUUGGUGGUCACUUUUGGCACGCAGGCCAAUUACCGCACUGAGUACCUCACAUUUGAGGUGGCUAACUUCAAGACCUCCUACCAUGCUAUCUUCGGUAGGCCAAUGCUGCAAGGUUCAUGGAAAUUCCCCACUGUACCUACCUUGUCCUCAAGAUGUCAACUCCAAAUGGAGUCCUUUCUGUCUACGGUGAUGUGGAGACCUCAUACAAAUGCGACACAGAGGCAGUCCAACUCAUAGAGGCCCUGGAGUUAUCAGCAAUCACCACCGCCAUGGUCACCAAGGCCCCGAAGAUAAGCAUAGAUCAACUAACGAUUCCUGAAAAGGAGCUACCUCCACAGCAUUACAGCCCGACCCCAGGGUCAAGAAGAUUUGCCUCGGCCUUGAAGACCUGACCAAGACAACUCACACUCACUAGUUUUCUAUGGGACAACUCGGACAUAUUCGCAUGGAAGCCAUAAGAUAUGCUCGGUGUCCCAAGGGAGCUGGUUGAGCACUCCUUGGACUUGAGCAAGACUACGCGACCGGUCAAGCAGAAAUUGUGUCACUUCUCCCAAGAUCACAAGGAGGCCAUUAGGGUAGAAUUGAAUAAGCUCCUAGCUGUCGGAUUCAUCCGUGAAUGUAAACAUCUAGACUGGUUAGCAAAUCCAAUCCUUGUAAGAAUGAAAAUCGGUGAAUGGAGAAUGUGCAUUGAUUAUACCAACCUCAACAAGCACUGCCCUAAGGAUCCCUUCCCUCUACCAUGAAUGUACCAAGUCGUGGACUCUACUACGAGGAGCAUCCAACUUUGCUUCCUCACCUGCUACUCGGGCUAUCACUAGAUCACCCUAAACCCCGCCGACCAAGACAAGACUGCGUUCAUAACGCCCUUUAGCAUCUACUGCUAUAACACCAUGACCUUCGGGUUGAAAAACAGCGGGGGCCACUUACCAGAAGGCAAUCCAGGGUUGCCUCGCAACACAACUCAACAGAAACAUCGAGGCUUACAUCGACGAUUGUGUCAUCAUGACAAAGGAUCAAGAAAGCUUUAUAUCCGACCUUGAAGAGACUUUCAACACCCUUCAGGCUUAUCGCUGGAAACUCAACCCCAACAAGUGUGUCUUUGUUGUCCCGUUUGGAAAAAUCCUGAGGUUUAUGGUCAGCCAGCGAGGCAUUGAAGCUAAGCCAUCAAGGUGGAUGCAAUCAGAAAUAUGACAAAACCAUCCAACAAGAAAGACGUCAUGAAGCUAACUGGAAUGAUGGUGGCUCUUGAACCCAGCCAUGCCUACGUGGUGCAGCGACUAGUAUAUUAUGUCAGCGAAGUCCUCAACAACUCUAAGACAUGCUACACCCAGGUGUAGAAACUGCUCUAUGUAGUGUUAAUAUCUUCAAGAAACCUGUGUCACUACUUCCAGGAACACAAAAUCUAUGUGGUCUCCUCAUUCCCCAUCGGUGAAAUCCUGCAUAACAUGGAUGUCUACGACCGAGUUGUCAAGUGGUCUGUGAAGCUCAGCGAGUUUGAUCUUGAAUUCUACCUGCGUCUCACGAUCAAAUCGUAGAUUCUGACUGACUUCAUGGCAGAGUGGACGGAAAUCCAAAAGCUACCUUCCCUAGAAAGGCUGGAACACUAGACCAUGUACUUUGAUGGUGCCCUAAACCUUGAAGGAGCCGGCGCAUGAGUGCUCUUCAUAUCUUCCAGUACGUGCUCCAGAUCCACUACAAGGCUACCAACAACGGACUCCGCAUAGUUGUUUCCCUUGGAAUUAAGCGCAUACUCGCUUAUGGCGAUUCAAAGGUAGUGAUCAAGCAAGUGAACAAGAACUGGAACUACACUAAGGACUCCAUGGAUGCCUACUGUGUAGAAAUCCGCAAGCAUGAGGCCCACUUUGAUGGCCUCGAGUUCCAUCAUUUCCCUAGGGACCACAACAUUGCCGCUGACGUCUUGUCCAAGCUUGGGUCCAAGCACGCACAGGUGCCCACUGGCGUAUUCGUUCAGGACCUCCGGAAACCUUCUAUCAAAAUCCUAGAUCCCGACCAGGCUAGUGGUGUUAGUGGUUAGGCUCCAGCCGACCUAAAAUUCGCUGAAGUCAUGAUGGUUGAGGUAGAAGAAGAUUGUCACGCCCCGUUCAUAGCCUUAAUCACCGACUAGAUGGCACCACAGGAUAAGGUAGAGCAUGAAAAAUUAGCUCGGUGUAGUGAAAAUUACGUCAUCAUUGGAAAAGAACUCUACAAAAAAGCCGCAUCUACAGGGAUACUGAUGAAGUGCAUUCUACGCAGCGAAGGCAUCGUGUUGCUACAUGAAAUUCACUUGGGGACAUGCGGCAACCAUGCCUCCUCGGGCACUUUAGUCGGUAAGGCUUUCCGCUCUAGUUUCUACUAGCCCACAGCAGUAGCCGAUGCAAAGGAACUCAUCCAACGAUGCAAAGGAUGUCAAUUUUUCUCCAAGCAGCAGCAUCUUCCAGCUCAGGCACUAUGCACCAUCCCUCCAUCAUGGCCUUUCGCAUGCUGAGGGCUGGACAUGGUCGGACCUUUCAAAACCGCCCCAGGUGGCUACACACACAUCUUUGUGGCAGUUGACAAGUUUAAAAAAUGGACCGAGGUGAAGCCAGUCACCAGCAUCGAAUUGACUAAAGCAGCUCAAUUCGUGGAAGAAAUCAUGCAUCAUUUUGGAGUGCCUAACAGAAUCAUAACCAACCUAGGCGCAUAGUUCACAGGCGCCAAGUUCUGGGAUUUUUGCCAAGAUAAUCUCGUUGACGUGUACUACUUUUCAGUAGCACAUCCACGCUGCAAUGGCCAAGUAGAACGUGCAAAUGGGAUGGUCCUCCAGUCCCUCAACUCGCGCAUCUUCGACGACGCUUCCAAAUACGCCACCAAAUGGCUACGUGAGCUCCCCCAAUGUCAUCUGGUGUUUGAGAACACAUAAAAGUCAUGCUACUAGCUAUACUCUAUUCUUCAUGGUAUACGGCUCAAAAGCUAUCCUGCCAUCAGAUGUGGCCUUUGGUGCCCCACACAUUCAAUACUAUGAUGACGGUGAGGCAGAAAGUAGUCGGCAAGUCAAUAUUGAUAGUCUCGAAGAACAUCGUGUGGCAACUCUCCUAGAGCAUGCACGCCAUGAGUAGCAGAUACAGCGUUAUCAUGACCGCAAUGUCAAGGAAUGGUCCUUCAAUGUUGGUGACCUGGUGCUUCGUCGGGUACAGUCCUCCAAGGACAUGCACAAAUUGGCCGCCCCUUAGGAGGGCCCCUUCAUCAUCAAAUAGGUCAUCCAACCAAGCACUUACCAACUACAAUGGGCAGAUUCAUCUAGCAUCCCCAACCCAUGGAACAUUGAGCAUCUAUGAACAUUCUACCCUUAGAAUAUACAACUAUUUACUCUAUAUCUCCUUUCUCCAUAUUAAAUAAGUAAAUACCCCUAUCGGUUCCUUUCUGCAUACCUACUGCCUUACCGCUUUUCCUUCCCGAGCUAUGUUUUAAUGCUUGGGGGCUGCCCGACCUGCUCAACAGCCCACUCGUUCACAAACUCGGGGGCUUCCCCACUGAUCUCUGGGUCAUACCGCCCCCCCCCCCGCCCCACGGCUAUACAACUAACACGUGUGGUCAGCGUCCUAUCUAGCAAAACAUAGACAACCUUCCAUUCACCCAUCCUACAAGGUCGAGAUCUGCUCUCAACAGGACACUAGUCACGCAAGGCUAGGAGCUUAGUGGCUACAGGCCUAAGCUACACGUUGUCAUGUCGUAUACGCCAAGGGAGGGAUGGAACUCUUGUUCUUUCAUUAAAACAUAAAUAAGAUGCAUUUCAUUCAGCAUGGCACAAAAGUAGUUUAAUACAUCUCAUCAGUUUUCUACAGGUCAAGCUCAUUUAAAAUUAUGUCCGCCACAUCAUGGUAUUGCUCAAUGAACUCAGAGAUCUUGGUCUCAUCAAAGUCAGUGGCGAUCCCAGUAGCAGCACGCUCCAGGGCAGUAGUCGGGAAGUGCGAGUGCAGCAGUGCGAAUGCGUUCUUUACACAUUCGAGGGCGGUAUCCUUCAAUAAGCUCUUCAACUGACCUGGUGCAGCUUUAAUGCAGUCCAACAGAGGCGUCGGUCUGGCUGCAUCGACGUCCUUCUUGAUCAUGUCCAUCAGAUACCCAGCCGACUUUCGAAGAUCCUCCAACUCCAACUCCAACUCCAAGCCUGCAAUCACGCGCUGGUCAUUCUGGAGGUUACCUACAGCCUCCUCUAGGCUGUGCUCGAGAUCCCUGCGCCUGUUGGCCUCAUAGGCUAGCUUCUGGGACACUGCAAACUCAUGGUUGACUACAGCAUCAUGUUGUUCUUGGAGGCGCAAGUUGGCGUCCUCACAUUCUUUGACAUCCUACUGCAGUCUCACCACUAGUCGCUUGGAAUCUGCUCAGCCGACCAAAUCUGCAUCAGCACAAUGACAUUGGAGAUAAACCACAACCUCACAUGUCGGUAAAACUCACCUACCAGCUUCGAGCUGAUGAACUCGCGCUCUCUAGCAAAGCUAACCUCGAGGUGUGCCUUGGCGGCCUCACUCUCCCUAAGGCUCCAUUGCAGCCUAGUCACUUGCACUGCGGAAUCUACAAGACCAGCAAAAGAUUGCAUCAGUGUAAAAAUCGCAAAAACAAGUCUACUAAGGGCAAGUCAGCCGACUGUACCUCUCAGGAGCCCAUCUUGAGUUGUAUUCUCGACCUCUCGCCACGCCUACUACCUUUGGAGUUCCUAUUUUGCCUGCUCAAGUUCGGUCUCUAGUGGUGCCUUAGACCGAAAGCAAUCACAAUGGAAGACCAUUUCCUUCCUCUUCUGAGCAUGUUCAGCUAGCCCUUGCAAAAUACAUACAAUCAAAACUCCACAGAAGAAAUUGAAUUUCAAUCACAGAGCCAACAGACUAGUCGGUACACUUAUGCGAAGAUACUCGUUAAUCUUGUCUCCUGCUUCAUGCAUCCCGUCAAGAGUCUCCCUAUCCCUCACUUCAUCCUCUUCAACCUCAGCAUCGGUAUAAGGGAUGGUGGCGGGGUCACUCGCCUGACAUGAAGGGGGCACAUUGGGCAGCACAUCAUCCCUGGGUGGAUCAUCCUGUUGAUGAUUAGCCUCGACGCCCUCCUCAACCUCAUCCUCUACCACCAUGUCUUCUGGCGCCGCAUGCCCGACCUCAGCAUCUUGCGGUAUCGUGUCCUCCACAUUGGUGUCCUCCUGGGUUGCUCACCUGACCUCAGCGUCUGCCUGGGUCGCGUCCUUGAGACUAGCGUCCCUUUGGGUUGCUCGCCCGACCUCUGCACCCUUCACACUGGCGACCUCCUGAGCUGCAUCCCCGACUUGGACGCCACCCUCAAUUGCGCCCUGGAUGUCGGCCUCCUCCUCUAUCUCCCUUACAAUCCUAAGGCCGGCCAUGCAGUCGUCAAUGGCUUUAGCACUAUCUUCAACUUGUUGAGGUGCAUAGCUUGGUGCAACCUCCUCAACCAUAACACCACCACUAGUCCCGACCUCUAUAGUUGGUGGCUGCUCGGCGGCGUGACAGCUGGUGGCUUCAGCCUGAAUCGAGCAUUUUUCUAGAUUGGCGCUGCCAUCGUCAGAUCAGAUGCCAGCUCAGUAUCAUAACCACACCAAGCAAAACAACCAAGAAAUCAGACUACUGCCACAAGCGGAGAAAACAUAAGAGAAGAUGGCGGCACUUACAGAGUACUCUUCUUGAACAGACUUAUUUUUGGGCGCAGCUUUUGUGGUGGACCAGGCGCAUUGUCACCGGAGCUGUCCCGCAUCCUCUCCUUCAGCGCCUCCUUGAGGUGCGCCGCGUCAGUAGUGGUGGUUCCCCUGAGCUUCGGCUCCCCGCCCCGUGUAGCUAGGCUUGGCGUGCUGGAUCCCGCCUUGCUGCCCGUCCCGAUAGUAGCAAUAGUAGUCGGCACGGCCUUCUUCCGACCAGCCAACUUCUUCUUCUUCUCGGCUAGCUGAGAGGCCAUGGAAAGGGGCUGCUUGCGAGUUGCCUACCAGGCCCCCCGACUAGCACCUCGGUCCUCACCAGCUGCACUAACAGUAGGCCCAAGAGAGGACUCUGACUCAAACGCAAGGCUCGGUAGCAGCGCAACCUGAACAUCAAUUGGUGUGACCUUGGGUAGCAUCGCCUGGGUCCUGCCAGGCAACGGAGGAGGGCAGAAAUAUAUACAAGGAUCACUUUAAAUCAAAACAUGACUUCAAAUCAAACAGGUCGCAAAUCAAGUGUGCAUUACAUCUAAGCAAAAAUGAACGCAGACUCACCAGGGUAGGUGACGAAUUCCUUAGGGAGAAGGCCUUGGGGGCUCCCGUGUUAUGGAACUCGCUCUUGAACAACCCGGGUAAUCGGCAAAAAAAAUCUCUUCAACGAUCACCUCGCCAGCAACCUUCCAAGUUGGAUCACUAAGCCCCGAGUACUCGAACGAUGGAUGUACUCGGUUUUUUAUCGACUAAGUGGCCCUCUGACAGAAGUUGAUCCCAAUCGCCAUGGGCGUCAACCCUCACGCCUUGAGGUCGGCGAUCCUUGACAGCAGCUCGUUUACUUGGACUUGCUCCGCCGGGGUCGGUAGAUCCUGACACUUGGAUACCAACACAGGACCAAACCCAAUGCGCAGUGGCAACUCGAGCUUUUAAUUAGCAAUCAGAAACCACUCUGUGUGCCACCCCUUGUGGGACUCCUUCAACUGAAGGUUAAAAUACUCAUGCAUCCUCUUCGGAUGCAAAGAAAAUCCGGCCCCACCUAUGACCCUAUCCUUCCUGCCUUAAGUUGAUACAACAAAUAUCACCACAGAUUGAAGUGGGAGAAGGAUGCCUAAAUAUGCCUCGCACAAAUGAAUAAAAAUAUCAAUGUCUAAGAUCGAGUUAGGAUAGAGGUGUACCAACUCGAUCUUGUAGUAGUGAAGGAGCCCACGGAAGAAAUCUCUAGUCGGGAUUCCGAACCUGUACUCAAAGAACGGGGUGAAGACCACCACUUGCUCCGUGUCCUCGGAUAGAAACCCCUGACCGGCGGUGGUCUACCACUCCAACAGCUCCUGCGGACCAAGGAGCCCGCGGUUGAUGAAGGCUUGGAUCCUCUCUUGCGUCAUCACGCUCUUCAUCCACACGGAGGAAGGAUUCAGAGCAUUGCACUUCGCUAUUGCUUUGCGAGCUUGCGGAGUAGAUCUAAAAUGCACUAGGGUUUUGUAGCUCAUAAAAGUUGCGCAACAACUUGGGCGGUGGCAGCACAGCAACCUAGGCGAUGGUGGCGGCGCGCAUGCGAAGAAGAUUCAGGGACACGGCGAUGCAACCUAGGGUUUGCGAAUGCAAUGGCGGAGCGCUCAGUGAGCUUUGGACGGCGAUGUUGCGAGAGGUUGAAGAUGUGAAUGGCAACGGUCGCGCGACCCUUGUGCUUUUAAAGGAGAUAAUGGCGUCAUUCACAGACGGAAACCGUGGGCCCUCCGUUAAUGCUGCAUAAACGUGCUGGAUGAAAAAUACGAACCCGUCUGUUACCGCGCACCUAAUGGAUUUUUCGGGAUAGUGCCUCCGUGGCCUUGUCAUUCCCCAACCUCAGGGUCAAAUACCGAAUGACCUCGAAUUUUUUUUAAGAAAAAUUUGUUGAAGAACUAAAACACCUCUAUGCAGCACCAACACGGUCCGCCGACGGCUUGUGCUCAGAAUUGCUUUGUGGGCUGGUGCUCGGAAACAACAGCCUACCUAGUAGUCCCAAACUGAUGGGCUAGGCUAUUACCCUUCCGAGUCCGAUCGAUGGAUGGAGGGAUCCUCCAGCCCAGUAUAAAACCAAUAUGCAAAGACCAACCUAGCCCAGAGUCACAGGCACAGAAGCGCAUGGAGAGCUCAAGCCAUGUCGUAGGCUCAGAUUGCUCUGGAAGCUUCCCAGCACGCAUCUCGUAAGCUCAACACACUUCACUGGCUCCAACUUCAGUUCCGUUCCGAACGCAUGAAUCAAUUGAAUUUCAUGUUCAUGUAUUUUUUUGGGCAAAACCAAGUAGAUCAAGCAGCUAAUCCUGCUCGAUUCCCUCGGUCGGAAUACCUUGCAAGAAUCUGAAAUGUGGCUAGGAUGUCGAUUCCGGACAAGAGAAUAACCUUCGUUCAUAUGUAUGUAGGGUGCCAUUUUUAUUCAUGAAUCCCUAUGCAAUUAUAAAAAACAAAUAUGCAAACAAAAGUUACUCAUGAAUAACGGAAUUUUAGCUUCAUGCAUGAAUAAAAGUAUCUAAUUUUUUGUGCUUAUGAAGCGAUAAUUUUAAUCUUUCUUAGAUCAUCACACACUGCGAUACAUAUAUUCUGCACAACAAAUACAUAGGUCCUCCCACGCUACCUUGUCCACGCACCACGAAAAGUUCAUGCUCGUGCAUGUGAAAUUAAAUGGGGACAACCAACUAUAUGACGCCACCUCACAUCUCAACACAUCCACCAGAAAGCAUGCAUAUAAGGAAUCUUUUCUUGAUUCGAAACUAAACGCGAUAUCUCCUAAACCGCAAAUUCAAUUUUAGAUCCGUUUGAAGUAGUUGGUUAGAAAAAGUGUGCCUAACAAAAUGAGAUCCAUGAAGAUUAUAUUUGAUGAAAUUUUAAUUAAAGUAUGUAAUUGCAACUAUGUUGUACUGCGAUUUGCAAGCAUGUCCACAACACAAUUGCAACUUGGUUGCAGCCUAUUUAGCACUGGUUGUAACUCGUUAUAAUCUAGUGUCGCCCAAUUACUUCUGGUUGCAGUUAGUUACUACUCAAUUACAACCCGAUUACUACUCUGAUUGCAACCAGAUAUGCUUGCAACUCCUACCGAAUAGAAUUGCAAUCUAUUAUUACUCAAUUGCAGUUAGCUAUUACUUACUUGCAAACCGGUUGGUAGUUGGACACAGCUGCAACACAAUUGCACAUCGGUUUUAGCAUAGUUACCACUAGUUGUAAACCAGUUACAACCUAGUUGUUAUCCUAUUAGUACUAGUUGCAACAAGUUAUUAUACAGUUGCAACCUCAGUUGGUACUUAUUGCAAGUCGUUAUUACACAAUUGUUGCUGGUUGCAACCAGUUACUACCUUUUGCAACCUAGUUACUACGUAGUUGCAACAGUUGCUAAUCUGGUUGCAACCAGAUAUGAUUCCAACUCAGAAUUGCAACUUGAUGUGAUUAUACUGACCAGAUGUAAAUAAUACACAGAGUUAUAACUAGUUGCAACUCGUUAGUAGAUAGAGUUGUAAUUGGUACUACACAGAGAUGCAAAUUGCAAAAAUAAUAUAAAAUAUAUUCAUAACAGAUCUAGUUUUGCAAAGCACAUUUUUUUGAGUAAGAUGCAACAAACGGUUUGUCAAUCAGGUUUAAAAAUAAUAUAAAAUAUAUUCAUAACAGAUCUAGUUUUGCAAAGCACAUUUUUUUGAGUAAGAUGCAACAAACGGUUUGUCAAUCAGGUUUACGGUUUAGGAGAAAAUUUGUUUCAAAGAUUCGAAACAACAAAAAUUUUCAUGCAUGCUGGCUGCUGGUUAUUGCACGUGACUAACUUUGAGAAGUGGGAAGAAGAAAAUUAGCUAGUGGUUGUCUCAUGAGAGCGGAGGAUGCACCCAAGUGCAUAAUAGACGUAUAGUAUGUAUCUGUGUAUACACACGGAGUAUACCCUGUAGCCAGGCCACCUGGUGCAACACGAUUGGCCACCACGGCUCCCAGCAAUUCGAUCCGGCCUGUACGCGAGCCCACCAAGCGAGCGAGCCGAGCAUCAGGAGCCGAAGGUCAUUAUGCUAAUCAAUGUUAGGGUAAUUGUUAUGUAAUCAAGGUGAGGACAAAACUUCCGAUCUGGUUGAUAUGGCAAUCAGAUUCUGAUCCGUAUGGUCAAAAUACAAGCUACGACCUAGUAAUUAAUUCACGUUGAUUCGUUCAUUAUGUUUUUUUUGGGGAAUUCGACUUCACGAUUGCAUGCAAGUGGACGGGUUACUGGAAUAUAUGAACACGGUUUGUACGUGUUUUUUCUUUUUUCACGAGGCAUGUGCAAGUGUUACGAGAAUACAAGCUAGAGCUCGAGUGUGCAUGCGUGACGCGCAUAACUACAGAAGCACUAGUUCAUGCAAACUAUGGUAAAUACUGAGAAGUGACCACACAGGUGUACCGUCAUGGUGUACUGAGAAACCAGUUACCAAAAAGCCAUGACAACUUUACCAUGUACUCGAGUUGAUAAUUAGAACAGAGAGUUACCACAAUCCAACAUUAAGCUGUUCCAAGGAACAAAUUACUAAAUAAUGAAACAAAUUUACCGAAAAACAGUUUCGGUAAUUCGUAUGGUUGAAGACAAUAAUUAUGAUCCGGAGUUACCACAAUUUGGUUCACAAUAUGUCCAUAUAAUUGCAUGAAUCCCAUAGCACUGUAGUAUACAGUAAAAUGGAGCAGCACAUUUUGGAGGAAAUACAUUCAGAGAAUAUGUCCAUAUAGUAAUAUGAAACGACCAUUUACUAUAUUUUUCACAGUAAUUGGUAGCUCUGGAGAUAUCAUUUUGCUCAUGUUGGGAUUGCAAGGUCCUUCUAGAACAGAACUGUCGAACAAAUGAAUUUUCCAUCUGAAAGGAUGAAAAAUAAAAAAUGUUGCUCUGAAUAAGUGAGGACUUCAUAACAAAAGAAAACCAUACUCGCCGGCUCCCACGAAUGAAACAGGCUGGGAUUAUGAAACUAAGAGCAGGUUACCAUAUCUAUGAGAAUGCAAAGAAAACCAUACUCCAAGCAAACAUAUCACAAGCUAACUGGCACCACUAGUGGUAGAUAACUUUCCUCCUACAAAUCUGAAAAAUCAAACGAAUUUAAGGCUCUGCAACAGAAACAGAGCUUGACACCUUGCUGGCAGCAUCUAUGACAUGCAAGAUCAAGAACCUGUAAAGGAACUGUUUUUUCUCCACUGUGAAAUCCAAUAAGCACAUGUCGCUAGCUAAUCAGAUUUUUCACAAACAAAAAAAGGCUAAAGAUAUUCAUCCGAACUGGAUUCAUGAGCGUCUGAGAAAAGACCUGCAGGAUGAAUAGAGAAGCUCAGACCUGUAUGACACAGCAUCUCAAUCUCAUAUUUUCAUAUCUAGCUCCGAUUUGAACCGUUUUCUUGCUCCCUCUGCUGAUCUGCACAAACCACAGAAAAACGAACAGCGAUGCUCAGCCUGCGCGGGUCUUCAGAUUCGUUGGGGCAUUUACUCAAACACAGAGUGUGCACCAGCAUCACACGGUUCGCACCCGUAGUUAAUCUGCAAAAGAAUACAUACACAACACGCAAGAAUCGUGAGAUUACCUGGACAAAGAAGUCCAGCAUCAAAUCCUCGCACGCCGAGAUCCACGUGUACCAGCUCCCUGGGAAGUGGGAACCACAGCUUGAGCUACACCACGAACCGGCUGGGAAGUUCUGCCUCUGCCGCGCUCCAUGGCGACCAUCGCGAGGAGAAUGGGAGGUAGUGGCAGAGGCGCCGCAGAGCCACCAUGACGACGUCGCGCCGCCGCUCGCCGGGCCACCGUUGCUCCCACGGACGGGAAUCGCCGCCACUGCCCCGCGGGGGGGGGGGGGGGGGGGGGUGUUUUGUGCGCAGCCGAGCGGGCGAACGUGGUUUGGUGGGACUGGGAUGCUGGUUGCUGGGUCUGUUGGGUCCGGCUACAGAAUAACUCGCCACAAAUAAGCAGCUCUCUCUCUAUCUUUACCUUUACCUAUUAUUAAAUAAAUAAAUAAAGCAUAUUUUUUUUUGAAAGCUUGGGUGGCUCUAUGGCCUUUCAUUACCAUCACCGGAUUCCGCUAAAUCGCGGAUCACCGGCAGAUUUACAGAUUCGGGAAGAGGGCCAGUCCAUAUGCAUGACUGUUCCGAACCCCAAAAUAAACCCAGUCUUGCAAGCUCGUGCGCAGACGAGUUAGUACAACGUGGAAUAAGAGAAACAGCUAAACACACAAACUCAUUAGCUAACAGGUUUCGGAUAUCCCUGAAAAUCACUCCACAGUGGCCACGAUCAUGAGUAUCACAUGUAAUAGCUUCCUUUAGAACACUUGAGUCAACCUCCAGCUGCACAUGGGAGAUGCCAUACAAUUCUGUUGUUUCCAAAGCUUUGAGACAGCCAACCGCUUCCGCCAUUAACGCAUCAUGAAGCAGACUAGCGUUGCCUGCACCUGCCAGCACGUGUGCACCUGUGUAAUCUCUAAUAAUGAAGCCCCAGUCGUCAUGCUUAGUUGCCUUCACAAAAGCUCCAUCAGUAUUGAUUUUCAGGACACCUUGGGGAGGUCUGAGCCAUCUCUGUUGUAGCCUAGCAGUCGGUCUGAUUUUUAUUGUUGGCAAUUCCAGCAGCCCCGCCAUCUCUAAGACUGAAUGACAAACAUUUUGUAUAUUUUGAAUUGGAUCUCCAGCAUUUACCUUGUUUCUUACAUCCCACCACUUCCACAGCAAGAGGCUAACCUUACAUGCCAAGCUUUGUUCAAGUUGCAGCACAUUCCAAAUAAAAUCCUUCGAUGAUUUGGCCGACAGCAAAGCAAGGUGUGUUUGUUCCAUUUCCAAAAGACGCCAACAUCUCUUUAUUAGCUUGCAUUUUAGAAAACAGUGACCCCCAUCCUCAUCAAAACGCAUGCACACCGGACAUCUCGUGUCAAGAAUAACCCCUCUCCGUUUGAUGUUUUGCUUCAGUGGUAGGCUGUUAUGAGCCAGGCGCCAAAUAAAAUGAUGUACCUUUGGAGGACAUGGCAGCUUCCACAAUUUCUUCCACUUUUGUGCUUCGUGGUCUCCCUCCCGACAGCACACGCUACUUUCUCCUUGCGGUACUGCCGCUGGCGUAUUAAAGCAAGUAACGUCUCUGCCUGGCUUUUCGUACAUCGUGGUCAUUUUGCAAAAAAACCUCUGAUAUUUUAUGAAAUCAACCCUCAGUCCAAUUAUUAUGAAGAGAUUGGGGGUCGGAUGGAAAAAAGAGGAAAGGGAGGGGGUUAAAGGGGAGAGUUCUUCUCUUUCUUCGAAACAUACAGCCAAAGGAGCGGAUUGCGCGUGGGCGGUGGCCGGAGUGUCGCGUCGCGACCUCCGCUCCCGUCUCCGCCUCCCCCCUCCAUCCCCUUCCGCCGCCCAGCUUGUGGGAGCUCCCAAUUCAUGGGAGGAGGUUCCGCACGCUACCCCUUCCACCCACCCCGCCUGCGCCACCCACGGAUCAGCGUCGUCGCCGAUCGAAGGGGAUUGGGCGCCCGGCGGCCGGAGCGGGGAGCCCGCCGCUGCCCCGCGCUGCUCGGCGGCGAGGUUGGCCGGGCUCUUGGCGGACGACUCCCACCAUCUGUGGAACGACAGCCUCACCUGCACGGCGCUCGAGCUGUCGCCGCCGCCGCCCGAGCGGUCUCUCCAGGUUUUCCGGCGGCGAUGGCGGGCAAGGGAGGUAAGGAUCUGCUGGCGGCGAAGACGACGGCGGCGAAGAGCACCGACAAGGAUAAGGACAAGAUGAAGGCUCCCGUCUCCCGCUCCUCCCGCGCCGGCCUCCAGGUUCUCUUCCCCUUCUUCGUCUGUCUUUUGGAUUCGUCACCCGCGAAUUAGUCAGAUAUGUGGUUUCUCCCUGCGAAUUUCAGAUGCGCAACUUCAAAUUUCGCACUAAAAUUUCCCCUGUGUUUGUUGCAGUUCCCGGUAUGCCGCAUCCACCGCCAGCUCAAGUCCCGCGCCUCCGCCCACGGCCGCGUCGGCGCCACCGCCGUCGUGUACUCCGCCGCAAUCCUGGAGUACCUGACCGCGGAGGUCCUGGAGCUGGCCGGCAACGCCAUCAAGGAUCUCAAGGUCAAGCGCAUCACCCCGCGCCACCUCCAGUUUAUUUGUACUAACCUUGAUGUGCAACACAUCUCCCUGAUUUUCUUUUUCAUUGAUCCCCCAAAGAGCUCACCACACCUGCUACUUGCAUUUCUGAUCCAGUUACGUCAUCCUUGCAGUGGUGCUAUGUCCUCUAAGUGUCACAGAUGGCUGGCUCUCAGAAUUCAGCAAAUUCUGUCCUUCCUUGAGGGUCCUGCAGUAUGUUGGCGAUAAGGUGCACCGUCGUGACCUCCGGAGAACCUUGUUUGAACUUGUGCAGAGAGCUUCCACAUCAUCUCACUCUAAUGUACGCUAUUCUGUCUUUUCUGGGUUCAAUCUUCUAUAGGUGUAUGUGUAUCCCAUCAAUACUUGCGACAUCUUUUUUUCUUUUCUGCACGUAACAGGAAUUAUCAUUUGAUGUGCUCAUGAAAACAUAUGACAUAGCCUUGAUGGAUCAAGAUUUUCUUUCACAAGAUUUUCUUUCACAAAUUCCCUGGCACUAUGCAAUUAUUGAUGAGGCCCAACGUCUAAAAAAUCCAUCCAGUGUAAGUGGCCAUUUUAUUUAUGUAGUUCUUUUGAAUUCAGGGUUUGACUGGUUCCUUACCGUUACUGCUGCUUUUGCCACCAAGCACCUCUUGGUACUACUGCUAAGCCACACAUGAUGUACCUCCCCUCGUAUUUGUGCAUUAUGUGAUGUUUUCAGUUUUGAUUCAGUAGCACGGAAGCUCAGACUUUCAGUACUGUUUGGGAAAACAAACAUCUCCACUUUCGAGCACUGUAUUGGUAGAGCAUAAUGACAGAGGUAAAUUGGGCACUGUGACUAAGAGAAAACUAAAGAAUAGCUAUGACUUGGUGGCACCAAGUGGAAAUAUUCAUAUUUCACUAGCAGUUUGUGGACUUCAGGUUCAGCUGAUUAGUUACAACCUGUGUUGAGCUUGAGAGGGCUGCAACCAUAAAAUUGCUCAAAAAACAACCCCAUCAAUUUCCAUUACUUGUAACGAGAAUAUCAGAGUUUAGUUACAUUGCCAGAUAAAGGAAACUGAGGAAAGAGCAGACACCCCCUAGGAGUUCUAACCUGAUUCAAGCUAAAAUCCUAGGUGCAAUUCUGCAUUUUUAUUGGUUCGUUGAGCUUAUAAUCCAAGCAUUAGUGUUAAAAGGAAUUAGAUUAAUAGGUGUGCAUGUGUCAAACACUCAAAUGCUAUAUGUUACACCCUUUUCCUUUUCUCCUUUUGGUUACGAUCAAUUAAAAUACACAUAUAUUUUGUAACAAACCUUCCAAGUUUAACUCAGAAAGUUCUUUGCCAGGUACUGUAUAAUGUCCUUGAGCAACGCUUCAUCAUGCCAAGACGUCUACUACUAACAGGCACUCCUAUCCAGAACAACCUUUCUGAAUUAUGGGCGUUGAUGCACUUUUGUUUGCCUUCAAUAUUUGGAAAGCUAGAUGAGUUCCUUUCCACCUUCAAGGAAGCAGGGGACUCAUUAACAGGUAUUACUUUCAAAUUCUAGAGGGGCGCAUUUUAGCAUUGUUAAAUGUAUAUGUACUGUUGGUGAUUUACCUUUUCUAUUAGGGGGUUUUCUGUAUAUUUUCCCCUUCUUGUACCUGUAUAUAUAUGGGCCUAGAGCCCCUGUUAUGAAUACAAGUGCUAUUCCUAACAUGGUAUUAGAGCCGAACUAGGGUUAGAUUUCUUCCCAAUCUGCCUUAGGGUUCCUUUUUUUCCCGCACGUUGCACUUGCGUGCUCUUCUUCUUCAUCAGCUCCGGCCGCCGCCUGUCUGGCUCUCCACCCGCGGGACUCAGUCAAAUAUUUAAAAAACAGUGAGGUAAACUUAUCACUAUUGAAUAUGGAAUUAACUAUUCCUAAUUAAAAUUAUAGCAUUGUAUAAAAAUAAUUAACAUGAAGACGUACAUUAAUUUCCUGCUGAAAGUUUUAAUUUUGGCCAAAUACAUUGCAUUAGUAUCCAUGUUCAAAUAGUGCUCAAUAAUUUAUUCUGAUGCAAUUAUAUACCUGACUUAGCAUUAGCAAAUAUGUUGCUCGUUAUAACAUUUGGACUGCGGAUGCACCAAUUUAUCAAGUUAUUGCACUAAAUUGAACAUUUACAAGUUGUUGGGCCAAUCUACACCCACCUAUCAAGUUAUUGUAUUAGAUUGAACAUUUUACAAGUUGUUGGACUAAUCCGCACCCACCUAUCAAGUUAUUGUAUUAGAUUGAGCAUUCUACAAGUUGUUGGACUAAUUUGCACCCACCUAACAAGUUGUUGUAUAGUGGGCACAAUUUACUCAAUAAAAAAUAUCCAUUGCAGAAUUUUAGAGUUCCUGCAUGAAUAAAAAUGUCCACUGCGCAAUUUACUCAAUUUACUGCAGUAACACCAAUUUGCACCCACCUAACAAGUUGUUGUAUAGUGGGCGCAAUUUACUCAAUAAAAAAUAUCCACUGCAGAAUUUUAGAGUUCCUGCAUGAAUAAAAAUAUCCACUGCGCAAUUUACUCAAUUUACUACAGUAACAUUUGAAAUAAUAGGGUCAUCAUGAAAGGAACAGCAGUAAAUAAUAUAAUAACUUUACAAAGCUUUCUUAAUACUGAGAAAUCUGUAGGAAUAUAUACUCCAAGCAAACAUAUCACUAGCUAACUGACACCACUAGUGGUAGAUAACUUUCCUCCUACAAAUCUGAAAAAUCAUACGAAUUUAAGGCUCUGCAACAGAAACAGAGCUUGACACCUUGCUGGCAGCAUCUAUGAAAUGCAAGAUCAAGAACCUGUAAAAGAAAUGUUUUUUCUCCACUGUGAAAUCCAAUAAGCACAUGUCGCUAGCUAAUCAGAUUUUUCACAAACAAAAAAAGGCUAAAGAUAUUCAUGGCGACCGUCGCGAGGAGAAUGGGAGGUAGUGGCAGAGGCGCCGCAAAGCCAUCAUGAUGUCGAGCCGCCGCCAGCUGAGCCGAUCGAGAUGAGUGCUUCAAGCCGAACGGGCAAACGUGGUUUCGUGGGACUGGGAUGCUGGUUGCGUGGGUAUGUUGGGUCCAGCUAUAGAAUAACUGGGCCCUCGAAUCUCACUCAAUGGAUCGGGCCAUCCCCAAAUUGCGUCCGUUCCCCCGUUGACCAUCAGAAAAUUCCCGAGUCCUCGUCGCCUCCUUUCUUUGUAGCCAGAAGCACCGCUUCCCCACCGCCCCCUGCCACCGCCGAUCCCCUCGCAGCCACCUUAAUCGGCGAUUGAUCCACAUCCUAUUCGCCUGCUCGCAUCAAUCAACGCCAGUUUUGUUUGUCAGGCCGCACUCUGAUGGUGGAAGGAGGCGGGCUGAUGCACCAGUAUGCGUUGUUACAAUUCCAUAUUUGAUUCAAAGAAAACUCGGGUCCCUAUUUGAUUUGAUCUUCCAAUUGAUUCAUUUGUUUCCAAUCCUAAUUUAUUAGUCUGGUAAAUUAAUUACAUAAUAGUGUCUGGUAACUACCAUUGUCAUCAACUGAUGACGCUACACUUGUAAAGACCUCUACACUUGUAAAGACCUCUGGUAAAUUCAUGACACUAUUUUUUAAAUACCUUUUUGGUAAGUUGAUGACGCUAUACUUUGUGGUAAAUUGAUGACGUUAUUCUAGUAAGUACCUUGUGGUAAAUUGAUGACACAAUUGUGAAAAUAUUAUCGUCUGGUGUCAUUCGACUUUCUUGUAAAUUUGUUCCAUCUUGUGGUACUUGGUUUAUCAGAACCGCUUGAUGCUAAUUGUGGUUAUUCCCAUCUCAAUUAUUGUCUAGAUUCAUGGGAUUUGUCCAUAACUAAUUCAUGGUAAAUGGUUCCACGAAUUCACUAUAGUAACUGGUUCAUCAGACUAACUAUAAAAUUAUGGUAACUCAGCCUUAUUAUCAUAUCAAGAAAUUCAAAUUCUCAUAAACAUUUUUUUGGUAAAUUUGACUCACCAAUAUAGUAACUUAUCCUAAUUAUCAUCUCAAGCAAUUCUAAUUCUCGCAAGUAUUUUUUUGCGGGAUCUCGUAAGUAUUUUUUUGCGGGAUCUCGUAAGUAUUUAUUGGUAAUCAUCUCAAGCAAUUCUAAUUCUCAUAAGUAUUUUUUUGCGGGAUCUCGUAAGUAUUUAUUGGUAAAUUUGACUCGCUAAUAUAGUAACUGGUUCCUCAAAACAGUUUGGCGUGAAAUUGUGGUAACUACUCCCUUUUAAAAUGAAAUUGUGGUAACUAUUGUAGCUACGAGCUUUUUAUAUCAAAUUAACAAACGUAAAUAUACAUGUACGCUACACUUGCUUUCUCGUAAUCCAUAUAUUCUACACUUGCAAGCUGAUAUGGACGCGGAUAACGAGUCAACCACCUACAUGCACAGGGCUUUGGCGCUGCCUGGAAAUUACCGGAAACUACCUACAUGCAUAUGUGUGAUGUGUCGUGCUAAUGAUGGAUACGAAGCCAGCAAUGCACGCGGCAACGUGAACCUGAAUUCCCGAAAUCACCGUGAACAAAAUCAAAUCAAUGUAAAUAAUCCAUAAAUGAGACUGCGCACCAUUAAUUACCGAGCGGCAGAAGGCUUGACCUGUCGCGAGCGGCAGAAUUAAUUACCACCGUUGAGGAAGGACAAUCGUUGCGGGACGCGCUUGGCCCUGCGGGUCUGGAUGCACUUGGUUGUUGCGCGUGUUGACCCAAACACAGAAUAAGCUAUUCUACGAUGGAUACAUAGACCAUCAUACAAUAAUACAUUGUUGUACCAUGCACGUAGUAACUAAUAUAGUAAUACUUAUACUGAGAAUAACCAUCCUCUGGUGAUUCAUACACAAACUACAAACUACAAGUACAUAGCUUAAUUAUACGUGUCACACGAUGUAACACAUCAAGAAUUACCUUCCCAUCAAUAAGUUCCAAGUGACAACCACGUGCACGCACAUGGUGUCAUAUAAGUAAUCAAUGGAGGCGAAAUAGGAAUACCGUAGUCCCUUAUAUAACAACAUAAUGCAGAACACCACCCAAAGGCCAAAGAUGAACCCAAUAAUCAUGCUCAGGUAGAUGGACUUCACCAUCCUAUUGUCCUUGUGCUCAGGCUCAUCAACUGGAGAAUUACUUGUUCCAUUUCCAGGGCAAUCCUUUGGGAGCGGAGGACCACAUAAACCAAUGUUUCCAACAUACAUUGAUUCCGGGUCAUCAGUUGCUAGCGUCUGAAGUUGAUUCCCUGUUGGUAUUCUUCCGCUUAGAUUGUUAUACGAGAGGUUGGCUAAAGAAGUUAGAGCUGCUAUGCUUGAAGGGAUCUCUCCUGAUAGCUCAUUAUGUGAUAAGUCGAGGGACUCCAAUGCCUUGAGGUCACCAAUGUUAUUGGGAAUUCUCCCGCUUAAAUGAUUCCAAGAAACAUUCAAGCUUUUCAAAGCAACCAUAGCACUAAUGCCUUGAGGAAUUUGUCCAGUCAAAUUGUUACAUGAUAAAUCAAUAUUUACCAUGUACUGAAUUCCUUUAGAUAAUUCAAGCUGUUGCCCUUUGGUUAGAACUGACGUGGUCUCUGUAAAGGAAAUAGAACUAUAAGUUUGGAUGCCAAUUCUAGAUGCUUCUACUUCAUCAAUAACGACGAUGCCACCCCCAGAUCCUUCUACUUCAUCAAGGGAACUAUAUCCGUUGAAGCGAGCCAUUGCACUCAAGUUCACUAUGGACUCAGGUAUUUGACCAGAAAUGCGGUUACAUGCAAGGUCAAUAUAUUGAAGCCCUUGAAUCGUUGCAAGUUGAACGGGAAUAUUGCCAGAAAAGUUAUUGGACCGCAGUCGUAGCAAUGCUAGGGAUGGCAACUUAUCUCCUAACCAUGCUGGCAAAUUCCCAGAGAAUUGGUUAUAUGCAAGAUCAAGGAAAACUAAUUGUUGGGACAUCUGAAGAGCUGACGGGAAAACUCCUGAAACAUUAUUGCUAUUUAAGUUAAGUGCAAGCAUAUCUUUGUACAGACCAGAAUCUCCUUUGCAAGUGGGCAACUCUCCUGAUAACAUGUUUCCUGAUAGGUCUAGCAUCUCCAAGCCUUGCACGAGGCACAGCGAAAAUGGUAUACUGCCAGAAAUUGAAUUGUUGUAAAGAGCCAAAGUAAAUAAAUUCAUGCCUCCAAAGUCUGGUAGUGUUCCUGAUAAAUUGUUUCUGGAGAGGUCAAGAUAAGUAUAGAAAUUGCUUCUUGGAAAACGUGGAACUGGACCUGCAAAUCUGUUACUACUAAGGUCAAUCAUUCGUGCCGCCAGCAUUUCAAGACUUGCUGGUAAUGUGCCACUUAAUAAAUUAUUUGACAUGUUCAAAUAGGAAGCUGUUGAAACUACGACCCACAACCAAUCGGGUACAUUGUCAUGUAUGGUUGCAUUUGAAAUGUCAAGAACAUUCAUACUCCUUUGCCAUCUAAUCCAUGAUGGGAACGCAGGUCCAAGCUGGCAUGACCUGAAAAUGGCCACCUUUAAUUUGAAUGAAGGAAUCCAAUUCGAGUGUACCCUCAUGGAAAGAGAGUUAUCAGAUAUUUCUAGUACUUGUAAAUUUGUCAAUGCUUCCAAGUGCUCUUCAUUUAUUUCACCAACCAGCUGGUUAGAACCAAGAUUUAAUAUAGUCAAAUUGUUAAGCCCUCCUAUCCACAAUGGUAAAGGGCCCAUGAUACUGUUACCAUGCAAAUUUAAGUAACUCAGGUUUUUUAGAGGCUGUAACCAAUUUGGAAGGUUCCCGUCCAAUUUGUUACCGGAAAAAUCCAACACGUAGAGCUUGUUCCAUGAACAUUUUGGAAGCCUGUUCAUCAAAUCACCUAUAUCCCCAGUGAUAUUACUCCAUUGAAACUCCAUAAUCUUCAAGUUACAUAGGUUCUCCAAAUUCGGUGGUAUCAUACUCCCAAUAUUGUUGCCAGCUGUAUAAACUUCCUCAAGUGAAGUCAUAUUUCCCAUCUCAUAAGGAAUUGGGGCUUGGAAAUCACACCAGGAGAGGUCAAGAUAAGUCAAUGUCCUUAUGUUCCAAAACCAAUUGGGAGAAAUUGCAGUAUGAAAGUAGUUCCUGCUGAUGUCCAAUACCUUAAGUGCUGUUAGAUUAGAAUGGCUGGGAAUGGUAUUUGUGUUUCUUAGAAGGCUGCUACUUAGAUGAAGAACUUCUAGUGACGGAAGGCUGCUAAUUCCAUGAAUCCAGUCUACUGCGGCACUAAGAUGCAACCAGCUCAUGUCAAGGUACUUCAGUAGGGAAAGAUGUGACACCCAUGUAAGGCUGUCUGAGUAUAAGUCCGAGUUGAAGGCAGAAUUAAGAUCAAGAUAGACGAGAUUGGAUAGGUUACCUAGCUGCGGAGGCACUCUCCCCCCAAAUGCCGCCUUAGAAAGGUUGAGGUAUUCAAGACUUUUAAGUGAGCCAAUAAACUUUGGGAUGCUUGAACCAUCGAAGUUGUUACAACUCAAGUCUAAAUACUUCAGAUGCUGUAAUCCAACUAAGGAGGAGCUCAUCUCACCUCCCAGUUCGUAGGAACCAUGGAGAUCGAGCUUGACAACAUGGCUAGUUCUGUUGCUGCAGUGAACACCCUUCCACUGGCAGCAAUCCUCUCCCUGCCAUGAUGAGAGUUGGCCCCCGGGAUCUGAUAAGCCGGCCUUCAAUGAGAGCAGCGCAUCCCUCUCACUUGUGAUGCAUCUCCCAUUCGAUCUCUUAGCUUGAAGGGAGGAACUUGAGGGCAUGGGCAGGAUCAGAAGCAGCCAGGUUAGGACUGUUCCUUGGAGAAGCAGGAACCUCACCGCAGCCAUUUUCAUCACGUCUGAGAUAUGAGUGCAGUAUCAGCGUAGCAUUCAUUCAGCUCAUCUUAUUCGAUGGCAUCCGUUCAGCAGUCAACUAACGCAAAAGUCUUGGUCGUAUCGUCAGCAAUGUUAUACAGUCGUCUAGUCGGACCUAGUCGCCAUGGCACCGACAAGGUGAUUAGUCACGAUUAGUCGUCGAUCAGGUCCGAUUAGUCGGUCCUAGUCGUCCAUACAUACAAGGACCGAUAUGAUAUGUAUACUAUAUAGUGCAUAGUAUACAUCAAGCAUCAACACCACAAAUAAUGAUCAGUUGGCGACUUACUUGAAGCAGGAGCAGAGCAAGCACUAGAGCAGCAGCAGAGGAGAGCAGAGCAAGAGCAGAGCAGCAGCAUAAAAGCAAGAUUAAUCGUGACUAAUCGCGAUUAGUCGGACAUUGAUCGUCGGAAUGAUAUCAUCCACGCAAUUUUGUCGCACAGCUGUCAUAUGCUACCAUUAUUUGUGGUUAAUUAAUGCUAUGGAAAGAUACGAGACAAAAUUCUUAUAGUUAUACUGUUC
Molecule: long non-coding RNA, 47500 nt
Filed under: Setaria italica (foxtail millet)
Lineage: Eukaryota; Viridiplantae; Streptophyta; Magnoliopsida; Poales; Poaceae
Description: long non-coding RNA (SITA_LNC005668)
Source: RNAcentral